AUCAAUUACAAAUCCCUGAAUCAAAUUAUUCUAUGAUUCACUUUGUUAAAUUUUUGUAUAAAUCUUUACAUCUCAAUUCGAAUUUCUCUAUGUAUCACAUAGUACAACUUAACAGAUAUUACACAUUAUAAACUACUAUCAUGUAUGUCUACUAGAACCUAAACAUGGUUCAAGAGCAUCUAGUUAAAUAAUAAAUCAAUCUCCUUUGAUGCAAUUGGACUUUAUCAAUCUAGUAGUACAUAACCUUUACCGUGUAUCCUUAACCUGCAAAAGUGGUUAUUUGCAAGGGUGAGCUCCACAGCCCAGCAAUUCUAACAGUUUUCAUGCAGCACAUAACAUAUAAUAUCAUAUUGAGUUCAUGCAUUCAUAAUCAAUUAAUAUUUACUAUGCAUGUUACUUCUCAUAUAACAGGUAUAGAGAUUUAUUUCACAAGCAUAUCAUCAAAGAUCAACUUUCACAUUUCAUACAUAUCUCAUAUGCAUUUCAUAUAUAUACAUCAACAUUUGGAUAGCAUAAUAUAGAUCAACUAACAAUCAAAUUCAUAUAACAAAUAGGAACUGAAAGACUUUCCUGAUUUGUAGUUUAUCAACUAUGACUUAACUGCUUAAAGCUUAUCUGCACUUCGUGUAUUCCUACACGGUUAUAUAAUCAUGGAUUCAUAUCCAUUAGUAACAUAUUUCAUGCAUUCUCAAUGUAAUACUAUUGUUAUAUUGUUCUUUAACUAGGUUCGUAAAACCUACACUUCACUUUCUCAUCAUACGCUUAGAAUAGCUAGGUAUGUCUAGGUAUACCUUAACCACUCGUAUAUGACAUCAACAUUCAUAUAUAGCUACCACACACUUGACUCACUACGUGUUCGACACAUUUAAAACUCAUAGGUAAGUUCAAACGUAUGCAUAAACGUCUAACUUAGUUGUAACUUCAUACCACAUCACCUAUUCUAUAUUCUCAUAGCACACACCUGAUGGUAAUACAUCACAAAUUCAACGACGUGUCAUUGCUUUAUAUCUUGAAAACAUCCUUUGGACUUUAACAUUUUAAAAGUCUAAAUUAACAUUCAUCUUUAUCACAUAGGAUGCUUCCUAACACAUUACAUAGCAUAGUGGUCACAUAUUGCAAUUUAAAGUAAUCAUACAAGCAUGCUUCAAACAUCAGAUCAAAAUAAAACACAACUUAUCCCAAACUGCAGGAUGGCGCAGCUGUGCCCUGUCCAGGCUUAGGGACGGCGCAGCUGCGCUGUCCCCUGGCCAGACCAAGACUGAGCUUUGCACUUCCUAUUUUCAGUCCAUACUUUAAUACACUUAGACACUUACACUUAAAAUGCAUACACGCUAGAGGUCUUUACAUACUUGUAAGACCAUUUCAAGUUCAACAUUAUAUGUUAGGGACUUUAGUUUAGGAUUUCCACGAAUCAAAACCAUAUAGGGUUAUGUAAUCACUAGGUGUACUAAUUAGCCUUAUGUUCUCAUAAAGAGGCCACAUAAUCUUUACUACACAUGCUCGUACAUAUUCACAUCUUUUACUCAUAGCUAUUGUAAUUUAACACUUUAAAACAUGCUUUAACCUCAUGCUUGGUUUACUUCCAUUAUGUUUAACAUAUAAGACUUAUGUUUAGUGACAUAAUGAAACAUAACAUGGCAUCUCAAACUAAAUACUCAUAUGUAAUACAACUUAAGUUUGAAAACAUGCUCGAGGUUGCCUUUGAAAUCAUUUUUCAUGAAUGAUGCGACAUAGGACAUAUAAAUCAUAUCUAGGGAUAUUCUAGACAUAUCAUGACAUAUAAAUCCGUUAGAAUAUAGAUAUCCAUGCGAUGCAACUAGAUUCUAAAAAUAUGUUCAAGUUUACUUUUGAAACCAUUGUAGACUUAAACAAUGCCAUUCAAUACAUACAAGACAACUUCAAAGGUCUAAACAUACAUAGUCAAGUCAUGUUAUCAUUCUGGCAAGGUCAGAGUUUAAAUCAUAUAGUAGUCAUGCACGUUAGUUCACUAUGUUAAGUUUUUUCUUGAAAAACUUCUCUACACAAAGCCUAAUAACGUGGUCAUGAACAAAGGAACUAUGAAUCACAUGUCAUGUUCAUUUAUGUGUAAAAUCAGUCAUGUAUAUAGACCACUAAGCUCAAAAUUUGCAGAACAUAAACUUUAACAAAGUUUGUUUUCAAAACUAAAAGUCCUUGUUAAAGAUCUUCUACCAAAUCAUGCUAAUCUUAGUAAAACAUGCUCACUUAGCAUAAUAUACUUAUACAUACACAUUACACAUGCUUGCAUGCUAGUUUAAGCCAAAAUGAUUGCCUAACAUUAAUCAGAUUUGAAAACAGUCAGCAAAAACCAAUUUCAGAGGCCGGCGCAGCUGCGCUGCGCCUCAGUGUUAUUCCGGCGCAGCUGCGCCGUGUCCGGUUCGAGCCAAGAAGAGUCUGCUUCGGCAGAACUCCAUCCCAACCACAAAUUAUUCACCAAUUCGAUUCUAAACACUCAUAUAACAAUUUAGACAUACUUAUAUGAUCAUAUAACAACUAUAUGGACAUCACCCAACCUCAUUAACAUGCAAUUCCACAAAAUCAAGGAUUUGAAUUACAAGAACUCAAGACUCCAUUUUUACAGAGAAUGAAAAUGGAAACAUGGAAAAAGGUGUUAUACCUCUGUAAUGUGAAAGAACUUGCUCCUACUUGAACUCUUAAACUCUAAGAAUGCUUGUAUGCUUUCAACCUUUACUUCGAAAAAUCUCAGACAACUUCAAGAACAUCAACUGAUAAACAUGGUUUCUAUUUAUAGAAGAAGUUUGGACUAGAUAAUGUCUUAGCACUGAGGUUGAAUUCAUGGUGCAAUGCAAUGAAACAAUGGUUCAAGAAGGGUGGCUCAACCACUCCAUACCAACCACCAAGCUAGCCAUGAUCAUCUAGGAUUUAGCCUUUUGAAAACAUACGUAUUAUAGCUUGUAGUCACUAUUCAUACCCUUGUGUCACUCAUUUUGGGUCAAAAGAAACUCUCAGCAACACUUAGCCUACACACUUGUACACAUUUUUACUCUUAUGCUAUAUCAACCAUAUAUUAUAACCUAAUGUCACCAUAUGAAUAAACAUUUCAAGUUAGUAGGUGCUACGUAAUAUACAUAUAAUUCAUGUACAUUAAAUACACGCAUUAAAAAAAUGCAGUUAGGAAUUAUUGCCCGAGUAGUUCCAAAAUUAUUUCUACUACUCACAUAACCACAUUAUAACAUUAUUUAAUGUUUAUUCAAACAUUUAAUCUCCUACCAAUUUCUAGAAUACGCAGAUAUUUAAUUAUUUCUGUAUUACCACCACAUAUGAUUUCACUGUACCACUUGGUACCUUAUAUCAUUAGUCUCAAUUAAAUGUCACACCCCACGUAUUCUUAAGCCAUAGGUAUUAUAUAUUAUUACUGCUCACAUUUUCCAUAUUACCCAUAGUAAUAUUAUUUAAUGAUUAUACCCACAUAAAUAUUUUAAUUGGGCUAAUUAUCAUUUAGUUGGGUACUUUCAACCCACACAAUAAUUAAUUAAUAUUAAUCAUUUCUUUUCAAUAAUUAUUAUGAAUUCCUCUAAUUAAUAGAAUAAUAUUCCAUAAUAUCACUUAAUUAGCCACUAAUUAAUACGGGUUAAUUAGUUAAACCUUUUUCAAAUCCAUGCAUGGACAACUUAACCAUCAUUUAGGAUUUUAUUAUCCUUGUGAGUCCUUAAUAUCCAUUUCUUAGAUUUUAAAUUCCAAAACUGAUAUUACAGGCCGGCGCAGCUGCGCUAGUCAUAGGCUUAGUAAUGGCGCAGCUGCGCCAUACCAAAUUCUCAGGCAGACAAGUUCUGCAUUAGCAGAACUGAAACCUUACAUUUCUAAACACUUUACACCUCCUCCUUAAGCGUUAACUCGUCUAAUCAUAAAUCCCCUCUUUGGUUUCACACCAUCGGUUACUAUUUUCCUUAACAAUUUAAGAAUCACACUUCGAAUUCUAAAACUCUAUUUCUCUCAACUAUAAAAUCUCAUUUAUAGUACUUCUUUCCACCAAUAACACAAAACUUGAAUAUAACACAUACAUAUAUUCCUUUAAUCUUCACUUCUCGCCGUGUAUCAAUUCACUCAAUAAUUCUCUAACAACUUUAAAGGUAUAUCGAUUCUCUUCUCUUGUCAACAAUGUACAUAUAUACAAUUCCAAACCUAACACACCUCGAGUCUUUAAUAGUAUUCAAUAUAGUAAACUGAGUGGUUUCCCACAAACAACCAACAAAUCAGUUUCCGUCUCGUCUACACUGUUUUCACAGUGAGUUAGAUCGGUUACCAAUUCGUAUAUACCUCUGCUCUCUGAAGGAAUCGUUUAGCCCAACUCCUAUACGUCAACCAUUAAAGCGUAAGAUUGCACUACUUUAGACUUGAUAUUCACUCGUACAUAUACUCAAGAAAUUGGUGAUUAUCAAAGAUAUUUUAAUGUCACCAACUUACUACUAUAAAAUAAUUCUAUAAAUUAUUUAAUGUCGGUAGAUAAAUCAUAUCCAUCUUCAUAUAACUUUAUCUCUACACUUUCUAACAAAUAUAUAAUAAUGGUAUAUAUUUAUUAAACACAACAUUACUAAUUACAUACCUCAUAUUACCCUAUGUAACACAAUACCACAUACCUGGUAACACAUUAUAUAUUUUUAUUUGAACCCUUCACAAGCCUUAAGAAUUUUAUUCACUAAAUUCUUAUUUUAAUAUUUUUUGAAAAUUCGGGUUCUUACAUGAUCUCCCCCUUAUAAGGAUUCCAUCCUUGGAAUCACCGAAACCACCUCUACUCGAUGGUAUUUCCAAUAUUACAUAUUCUUUUGAAUAAUUUUAUCCAUUCUCUUUUCAGAAAUUUCAUUAUAACUUGCUCACUUGCAUUCUACCACAUUCUCCUUUCUAAGGAACACUCUACUCACUACAUUCAUCACACAAAAUAAUAAGAGUCUUCCACGAUUUUUCAAUAGUCGGGAAGUAGAAUGAAUAACUCGCAUUCCAAAUUAUGCUGAGGGGUCACACAAGAUUGUGAACCAGUGCUUCAUCACAAUCCUUCGCACUACAAACCAGAAUGUUUAUCAAUCACAAAGACUGAAAACAUCCUCUACAUGUACGCUAGGUGGCCAGCCUAUUGUACCACUACGUUGGGCCGCAACGUAGUGUUUUGUAACGACUACAUGCGUUACGCUUGGAACCAUUGUCCCCAAAAACAUGUCCCCUUAUACGGUUUUUCACCUCAGCUUUUCCACAUCUAAAUCUGCACUAUAGUAAUCUGGCUUGGUGUAAAUAGUCAAGAACGCUUGAAUUUCACAAAUAUUUUUCAACAUUCGUCUAGCCAAAUCUAAUAGCUUAGACUUAAUUGAUCUUCUUUAUAACUUAAAAGAAAACCAAAAUUCUUUUAUGACGUCAUGAUGUCGUACCAGAUUAGUAGUACGUUGAGGAUUCCGCCAUUAUGUGACUUUGUCAUAUUACAUCAUACCAUAGUGGGCUGACGAUCUUUCGAUCACAACCAUCACUAGGUUUAACUGUAUUGAUGACUCCAUCGUUUACCAUUUCUACACCAUACCAAAUGAUGUAAAUGGUCAGAAAUACCUUUUGAAAAUUUUUAAAUCAUUUUGUCUUAGUCGGAACAAUUAGCAUAGACAUUUGGAUAACGGUAUUGUUUUUAAAACAUCAUUGGUUCAAUCACAUGAUCCAAAGUUUUUUUCGAGAAAACAGAAAUGCCAACAUUAUCACGAAGUCAAUAAAUUUUGAAAAUCUAGCAGAGCUAGAAGAUUUAGAAAAUCCAUAUUUCUCCAUCAACUUUACUCCAUUGCUUCAUUCUAUCAAUCUUUAACACCAUCAAUGCUUACUAUACCAAAAUUUCUAACUUCAUAACAUAUAUAUACCCGAUAUAGUUCAUCAAACUUACCACACUUUGGAAAUUCAGGACUUGCCAUCAUCAUAUGAGUUUAAGAACUUACCCUAGUCAGACCAUAGGCUUCCAUUCGCUGAGGGGUUCAAACCAUAAGAUCAUGAGUCACGAACGUACCAUAAGUAUGCGUUUUAAGAACUCGCAACUUAACCUUAUAUUCUCUAACUAUAACCUCUCUAUUUGUUAUACACAUGAGAAAAGAAUCACCUUCUCAACAGGUAUAUAGCAAAUAGCGCGACAAAAAUGUUUCAAUGAUUAUCAGUGCCAGAACUAAGUGGUUUUUACACCAAGUACAAUUCCCCGCCCAUAAUAAGGAAUCAUACCACUCAGCUAUUGACAUGGGUCCUCAAUUAAAAUCCCACUUAACCCUAUCUUACACUUUACUUGAUACGAAUUCUUCGUAUCUCAUCACAUACAACUCCUCAUGAGUUCAUAUCGUACCAUUUCAUAGUACAUUCACUUAUAGCAUCAAGCUAUACACACUUAGUCAUUACAGACUAUUUAUCACUUCAUAGCUUAAUCUGAUCAUGUCGUGAUCAUCAAUUUACCUUAGGGUUCUUUCCCUAUUAUCAACAAAACUCCGUCUGAGUUUAUUCUUAUUAUAUUUGUCAUCUUUAUCUUAUAGAUAUCAACUUAACAUUUUUAUUACCAGAGUUAGUAAUUCUUGAAUCCUCAUUUUCUAGAUACUUCAAGAUUCUUCUUUGAAUCUUCACUUAUAUAUAUUUUAAUCUUUAUCGUUCUCUCUCUCUCUAAGGUUAUAGCCUAAGGUACACUUACCUAAGUUUAUAACCUAUAGCUUUGAUACCAACCUGUGAUGUGACACCCCCAAAUCCGGUACUUCCAUUUCCACAAGAUUUGGUGUUCACUGUACAACAUCAUCUAUCUAUCUACCCAUAAAUAAAUGCAAACCAAGCAAUCGAUAGAAUUAAAUAAUAAAUCUCCCCUUAAGGGGUUACAUCAACUACACCAUAAUAAUAAAAUCCCAGGUUACUCUAACCUUAAAACAUCUAUGCGGAAAUCAUAAACAAAUAAGUCUUAAGUAACAUCAAUUCUAAUCAUCAUUACAUAAUCACAAUAAUAAAACAGUCUUCAUUACUUGCUAAUCUUGCCCUUUUCCUUACUAGUGGAAGGUUCGUCUGCUCUUUCGUUCUUAACUGCAAUGUUAUUAUUAUGCAAGAGUGAGCACAAUUUCCCACAAGUAUAACAAUAUAACAAAUGAAUAAUAACAUGCGAAUGAAUUAACAGCUUCUGAAAUAAAGCUCAACUUUUGAAUCAAGAAUGAAUAACAAGAAUCAAAAGAACUUCUGAGGGUCAUAAGACCUUGAACAAUGUCCUAGGUUAUCAAGUGUUUAUACUUGAAACCUUUAACAGUCAUAAGACUAUGGACUCUUCUUCUCGUACUUAGGAGGAUUAGCCCUUAGUACCAUACUAUGCACAAUAUCUUAACGCUAACGCGUAAGUAAUCCCCUUUACAGGGUUGUUUAUCUUAGUUUGACAUUCGAGUCCGCACCAAAGGAAGUUUGGUUUGGAUAAUUCAUCAAGGGUUCUAAAAUUUAGAACGCUCAUCAACUAUGGACUAGUCGAAUCAAUAAGGGUUCGCUAGUCUAACAAGGUUUAACAAUAACUGAUAAUUUAACUUGGAUACAAUCUCAAAAGUAUACAAUAGAAUAAUUAUUGUAUAACAACAUCAUGCUUGAAGGAUUAAUAAGCUUUAAUAUACGAAACAGACUUAAUCAAUAACAAUGAGAGUUUGCUUAAUGAUAACAAGUAGGGUUAGGAAACUUGCCUCGUGCGUAGAUUACACGUUAAUAAAACUCGUUCUUUGAUUUAAAUCCUACAUAUCAUUUACAUUCACAAUACCGGUCAAUUAUAACUUACUAAACAUCACACGUUUAUUAUUUUUCUAACUCGAGUUCAUGACUAUACUUAGUCAAUUACUACACUUAUUGUCAAAAAUUAAGACUUCACAAACAAUAAGGUAACUAUGCAUUUGAUCAUUCAAUUCACACGUAAUUAUGUUAUGGACGUGCUAAGAAUUUAUUUUAACACCUCAUUAUAUGUCUAACAAGUCUUUAUAUUCAUUAGACUAAGUUACCAUCACAUUUCUAUACUUGAACACUUUAAAAAAACAUUUUCUAGACAUUCUGCUAAGUGGCGCUGCGGCGCCACUUUUGUAGUGGGUCUUGGCGAUGCGGCGCCAUGGCGCUGCGGCUUGGUACUUGGCACUGCGGCGCGAUGGCGCUACGGCGCGGGAAAUGAACUAGGAGUUGGCGCCGCGGCGCCACACUCCAAACUCUGAAUUUUCAGUUCGCGAAGGACACAGAAUUCAACGAAAUAAACACUACAUAAACAUUAAUUUCACCAAAUUACACAUACCCACAUGUUAUAAUUCAUACAUAAUCAUUACCCAACACUUAUAGAGUAAUUUUAACCCAUUAAAACACAUAAUUACAGAAUUUGAGCAUGCAAAUUGUACUAUUCUUGAUGUUCUUGAAGUUUUGAACAUAAAUCCUAAAAUUCAACGCCACAGAUUCGUUAUAAAACCAAAUCCAACCAUUCAAAUUUCGUUUUGUUCAUUUUAUCAUGUAUAUUCACGUAUAAGUGGAAAUUUUGUAGAAACAUUUAUGGUUGACAUAUUAAAAUUAUGUAUAAGGGCCAUAUGGCCAAAUAACAUACUCUGUACAUUUUUGAAACAACAAGUCAUAAUAUUAUGAAACUUAUGAUAUGGAAUCAUAUACAAUAUAUAUAAAACAUGCUAUGCUACACGAAUUAUUACAUAUAUCCUUAACAAAGUUUCCCAAUUUACAGAGACUCACAGAAAGUAUAAAAGCCAUUUUUUUCAUAAAAACUACAUGACGUAAAAAGAAAUUGGGUUGAAUAGAAUUACCCAAGCGUAUAGUGAAAUAAUAGGAGAUGAAUUCCUUCUCAGAUGACUCUUACAAUCCUCUAAAAAAAUCUAUGAAUUCUCAACUCUUUCUCUCUAUCUCUGUCUGUUACACUUUCUAGACUUAGGCAAAUAAUGAAGAAGAAAGAAGAAGACGUAUUGUUAAUAAGGAGAAGAACUGACGCGCGUUGGUGGUCAGUUACCUAUCAUGGGUAACUGCUCCCAACCCCCAUUAGUGUCAUGUUUGGCUAGAUAGAAAAGGGUUUAAAACCAUUUAAUUUAAUUAAACUUUAUCAUAUAGUUUAAAUAAUGUCACACCCAUUAUAAAAUAAAUCUAAUAUCUUAUUUAAUUUACUUUAAAUAAAAUAUCAUGAUUCUUCAAUAAUGCACAUAGUCACAUAAUUAAAUUUUCUCAUUUAAUAAUAAUAUCAAAUUAUUAAAUCUCUAAUUAAUAAUUAAAUUAAUUAAAAUACAAUCAGGCUUAUUAAAUAUUUCUUUUAAUACAAUAAGCUCACAUAAUCANNNNNNNNNNNNNNNNNNNNNNNNNNNNNNNNNNNNNNNNNNNNNNNNNNNNNNNNNNNNNNNNNNNNNNNNNNNNNNNNNNNNNNNNNNNNNNNNNNNNGUAAAUAAAUGAGGAUAAUUCUUUAUCAUAUUCUCUUCGAGUUCCCAAGUAGCUUCUUCAGCAUUGUGGUUCCUCCAAAUUACCUUAACAGAAGGUAUUACUUUAUCUCUCAGAACUUGUUCUUUGCGGUCGACAAUUUGAACUGGAAUUUCUUCGUAAGAUAAAUCUUUAUCAAAAUGUAGGGGUUCAUAUUCAAUCACGUGCUUGUAAUCGGGUUUGUAGGGUCGUAGGACUGAGACAUGGAAAAUGUUGUGGACAUUCUCUAGAGCUGGAGGUAAGGCUACCUCAUAAGAAACUUCUCUGACCCUUCGUAGAACUUCAAAGGGUCCAAUGAAUCUUGGGCUUAAUUUCCCUUUCUUUUCGAAUCUGAUCUUUCCCUUCCAGGGAAAGACCUUUAAAAACACAUAACUACCCGGCUCGAACUCAACAUUCUUACGGUGUGGAUCGGCGUAUUUCUUCUGUCUAUCUUGAGCUGUUGUCAAUCUUGUUCGGAUCACUUUGACUAUUUCUGCUAUUUGUUGUACCAAUUAUGGGCCUAGUAAUUGUCUUUCGCCAACUUCGUCCCAAUAUAGCGGAGUUCUGCACUUUCUGCCUAAUAGCGCUUCAUAGGGUGGCAUGCCAAUACUAGCGUGGUAACUGUUGUUGUACCCGAACUCAACGAGCGGUAGAUGAUCAUCACAAUUUCCUUUAAAGUCCAUUAUACAAGCUCUUAAUAUAUCUUCCAAGGUCUGAAUUGUUCUUUCACUCUGUCCAUCUGUCUGAGGGUGAUACGCCAUACUCAUUCGCAACUGUGUCCCCAUGCAUUCCUGUAGACGAUUCCAGAAAUUCGACGUAAAACGCGGAUCUCUAUCAGAAACAAUUGACACUAGAACUUCGUGUCUUGAAACGAUCUCUUUCACAUAUAACCUCAUCAACUGAUCUAAGUUGAAUCUAAUUUUGAUCGGAAGGAAGUGUGUGGAUUUCGUCAAUAGGUCAAUAAUAACCCAUACUGCAUCGUAGCCUUUCUAAGUUGUCGGUAGGCCAACCACGAAAUCCAUUAUAAUAUGCUCCCAUUUCCAUUCUGGGAUCUCUAAAGGUUGUAAUAACCCACUCAGCCUCUGAUGUUCUGCUUUAACUUUCUGACAUGUCAGACACUUGGCAACAUAUUCUGCAACCUCUCGUUUCAAGUUUGGCCACCAAAAAUGUUGACGAAGAUCUUGGUACAUCUUGGUGCUACCAGGGUGAAUCGAAUAUCUUGAGUUGUGAGCCUCGCUCAAAAUUUCUUUCUUAAUCUCUGGUACUGGCGGUACCCAAAUUCUGCUCUUAAAUCUUAGUAGUCCCUCACUGUCUAUUUUGAAUCUCGGUUCAGUCCCUUCAGAUAUCUUCUUCUUCACUUUCUCACAUUCUUCGUCCUGAAGUUGAGCCUCCUUAACUUUAUCCAGUAAAGUUGUACCAGCUUGCAUCUGGAACAACUUCUCAUCGAUCUCCAUAGGAUACUUCACUUCUAAUUCCAGCUUUUCCAAUGCUAAAAUUAGCUCCUCUUGAGCGGUCAACAUCAUGAAUUUCUCCCGACCUUUUCUACUUAGGGCAUCGGCCACCACAUUUGCCUUACCCAGAUAGUAUAAAAUCUCACAAUCAUAGUCCUUAAUUAAUUCCAACCACCUUCUUUGAAGCAUGUUCAAGUCUUUCUGUGUAAAAAUAUAUUUCAGACUCUUGUGAUCUGUAUAUAUUUCACACUUCUCCCCGUAAAGAUAGUGCCUCCAAAUUUUUAAAGCGAAAACCACUGCAGCUAACUCCAAGUCAUGGGUCGAAUACCCCUUCUCAUAAUCUUUCAGUUGUCGUGACACAUACGCAAUGACUUUGCAAUUUUGCAUAAGCACAUAACCAAGUCCUUUAUACGACGUAUCACUAUAAACCAUAAAAUUUCUUGUGUCAUCUGGAAGAGAUAACACAAGUGUUGUACUCAACCUCUUCUUUAAUUCUUGAAAGCUUUCCUCACACUUUUCCAUCCAAAACAAAUUUCACCGAUUUUCUAGUCAAAUUCGUCAACGGAGUUGCAAUCUUGGAAAAAUCCUAAAUGAAUCUUCUGUAAUAACCUGCCAAUCCAAGAAAACUUCAUACUUCCGACGGUGUCUUCAGCUGAUCCAAGUUAAUUACAGCUUCGACUUUGGAGGGAUCCACCGAAUUUCCAUCCCUAUCAAUCACAUGUCCAAGAAAUUGUACUCUUUUAAUCAAAAAUUCACAUUUCAAAAACUUAGCAUACAACUUCUCUCUUCUCAAAGUCUCUAAUGUCAUCCUCAAAUGCUCUUCAUGUUCUUCCUUGGUUUUUGAAUAUACCAAAACAUCAUCUAUAAAUACCACUACGAAUUUGUCCAAAAACGGCUUGAACACUCCAUUCAUUAAGCCCAUAAAUGCUGAAGGAGCUUUUGUUAGACCCAAUGACAUUACCAAAAAUUCGUAGUGACCGUAUCGUGUUCUAAAUGCUGUCUUCGGUACAUCCUCUGGUCUCACCUUCAGUUGAUGAUAACCAGUUCUCAAAUCUAUCUUUGAAAAGUAUCUUGCUCCCUUUAAUUGAUCGAACAAGUCGUCAAUUCGCGGUAAUGGAUACCUAUUCUUGAUCGUAACCUUAUUCAGUUCUCUGUAGUCUAUGCAGAGUCGCAUUGCUCCAUCCUUCUUCUUCACAAAUAAAACCAGCGCUCCCCAGGGUGAUACGCUGGGUUGAAUGUACUUCUUAUCCAGUAAUUCUUGUAGUUGGACCAUCAGUUCUUUCAUCUCUACCGGUGCCAUUCGGUACGGUGCCUUCGAUAUUGGAGCCAUUCCUGGAGCCAAAUCGAUUACAAACUCAACUGCUCUAUCUGGAGGAAGUCCUGGCAAAUCAUCUGGAAAUACGUCUGCGAAAUCUCUCACUACUGGUAUCUCAUCUAUUUUUGGAUUCUCUUUCCGACUAUCGACUAUGUAAGCUAGAUAUCCUACACAGCUUUGUCUUAACAAUCUCCUGGCCUACAUCAUCAUCAGACAACUCGCUUGUCUAGGCGACUUGCUACCAUAAAACACAACCUUUGACGGAGUCAUAAGGUUAAUAUGCUUCUUCUGGCAGUCAAUUACCACCCCACAAUUGGAUAGCCAAUCCAUACCCAAAAUAACGUCGAAUUCUUUGAGUCGAAUAGGGAUAAGAUCUACGUUCAUGAUAUUACCCUUAAUAUCUACUCUAGAGUUCUUGUGCACAUACUUAACAAGGAUUAAUUCUAUAUUCGCAAUUUCUAUGUUCAUGGGGUAUUCUAACUCGUCCUUAAACAAUUCUAAGUUCUUAGCAAAGUCAUUGGAUAUAAAUGAGCAAGUAGCACCCGAAUCAAAUAAUACAUAAGCACUAAUUUUAUUGAUCGGAAUGAUACCUGACACCACAUCGCGAGACUGCACCGCAUCUUGCACUGUCAUGUUGAACGUUCUGGCUGUUGGUCGAUUGGUUGCGGUUGGUCCUGCAAUGGUCAGAGUGCUUCCAAUAGUAUUUCCUCUAUUUCCUCCUGAACUCGUCCCUCCUGAUCCCUUCUUAGGACAAUCUCUUGCAAGAUGGUCCUUUGAGCCACAUGUGAAGCAAGCACCCUUCUUUGGGUUCGAACAGUUUGGUGCUAUGUGGCCUUCCUGACCAUAAUUGUAGCACACUCGCUUCCCUUUCAUGAAAACUCCCAAAUGAGUUUUUUCGCAGGUUGGACACGCUUCUAUCUUCUUCUUCUGCCCUCCCUGUUGAAUUCCAAACGAAAAAUUUUCAGACCACUUCCUCUUCUGACUGUGAUUACCCCCAGUACUACUCCCACCAGUUUUGUUGUUACCUUCAUUCUCACUUUUCUUUUUCUUCUGAUCCUGAUUGUACUUAGUGACCGCAACGCUUCCACCUUCAGUGAGUAUGGCCUUCUUUAACACUCCCACAAAAGUGUUCAAUUGGAACAUUGACACUUUGCUAUACAACCAGGGCUUUAGUCCCUGUUCGAAUCGUUUUGCCUUCCUCUCGUCGGUGUGCACUUGGUAUGUGGUGAACCUAGCCAACUCGUUAAACCUUGCCGCGUAAUCAGCUACUGACAUACUCCCUUGUUUCAACUCUAGAAACUGAACUUCCAUCUAAUUUUGUGAACUUACCGGAAAGUACAUCUCGAAGAACAUUUCUUUGAAUCUUUCCCAGGAUAUUACACCCUCACCUCCUCUCACUUUGUUUGCCUGCCACCAAUAACUAGCUUCAGAGUUCAGCAUAAACGUUGUAUACGCGGUUUUCUGAUCCUCUCUUACUCGAGCGACGUCGAACACCUUCUCCAUCUCCAUCACCCAAGUCUGAGCUUCGAUUGGGUUUAUGGAACCCUUAAACUCUGGCGGUCCCACCGCCUUGAAGUCCUUAAACGAAGUGUUUGGUGGAACUUGUGGUUGAUUGUUAAUUGCCCCAGCCAAAAGGUUCACCAACUGCUGAACAGGAUUAGCAUUGGCGUCAGUGUUGUUCAUUGGUUCUUCUUGUGCUUGCUGACGGUUUUGUCUUCUUCUAGGCGGCAUAUUUUUAAUACAUCAAUUCAAAUAAACUCUGACAUUCUCAUUUAAUUCAAAAGUUUUAACAUCAAUAGAUAACAUCACUGCUAUUUACAUCCACUAUCCCGAGAUAAAGAAUCUACAGGAUUUAAAACAUCAAAAUAUUCCUUUGUUUAUAAACACAUCGGAUUUUACAUCAUUAACUAUCAAAUAGUUUUCAUAUAAUUAAACUAAUACUAUCACUGCCUAUUAAGACGUUGGAUAGCCUUGCCACGUUCUUCUUCCAUAAUACGAGACAUCGUCCUACGAUCAAGCAUGUAUGAUGGUAGACCUUCAAACUGGAUUGGGUAUUUCAUAACUCGAUCCUGGGCCGUAUCCAUUGCAUUGUGAAAUGUAGAGUACAUCUCCCUAAGCUUAGCCUACUUUGCACGGCGAUCAUCUUCUACAAGAUCAGCACGAUGUGACUCUCUUACCCAGCCUUCCUUUGCUAUGGCAAGCCUUUCUAAGCUCUCUUUCAGAUCCUUCUUCAACUUUUCUAUUUCUGCGGACUUAUCCUCGGUUUGACCCUUCUCGUGAACCAGAUCCCACUCCACGUUUCCUAAAUGUGUGUGAAGAGUCUCAAUCUCCUCAUCCUUCUACUCAAUAGUACUUUGCUGUAUAACAAUCUUCUGUCAGCUCCUGAACAGUGUCCUGCAACUCUAUGUUACGAUAAUAAAGUGCAUCAUACAUCUCAGCAUCAAUGGAGUUCGGUGGGAACUCCUUUUCCUCCUCUUCUUCCUCUUCCUCCUUAGAAUCCUCCUCUGGAUAGGUCUCAGGCUCAUGCCCCUGACCAACAACAGUGAUCAAUGGAGAUGGCUCUCUCUGUACCAGCUGUUCCCUGAUGACAUGAAUGUCGCGGGGCUCCUCCUCUGUAGGUACUCGGGGUUCCUCCUCCCCAGCUCGACUAGCUCCUCCAGCAUCCAACAUCCUGACAACAAAAUUUUAAGUUUUAGUUACAAAUCCGUGCUAGCGAACACAUAGAUUAACACAUAAGCACAUAAAGUCUUUUAUCAUCUUCAAUGAAUUUAGAAAUUCAUUUCAUAGAACUCGAUAAGAGUUUUACCACCACUAUGUUCUCAAUCUCCUACAAGGCUACUACCUAAGGUUGUUCCCCCACCUAAGGUUCAUAACCUACAGCUUUGAUACCAACCUGUGACACCCCCAAAUCCGAUACUUCCAUUUCCACAGGAUUUGGUGUUCACUAUACAACAUCAUCUAUCUAUCAACCCAUAAAUAAAUGUAAACCAUGUAAUCUAUAGAAUUAAAUAAUAAAUCUCCCCUUAAGGGGUUACAUCAACUGCACAAUAAUAAUAAAAUCCCAAGUUACUCUAACCUUAAAACAUCUGUGCCGAAAUCAUAUACAAAUAAGUCUCAAGUAACAUCAAUUCUAAUCAUCAUUACAUAAUCACAAUAAUAAAACAGUCUCCAUUACUUGCUAAUCUUGCCCUUUCCCUUACUAGUGGAAGGUUCGUCUGCUCUUUCGUUCUUAACUGCAAUGUUAUUAUUACGCAAGAGUGAGCACGAUUACCCACAAGUAUAACAAUAUAACAAAUGAAUAACAACAUGCGAAUGAAUUAACAACUUCUGAAAUAAAGCUAAAAUUUUGAAUCAAGAAUGAAUAACAAGAAUCAAAAGAACUUCUGAGGGUCAUAAGACCUUGAACUAUGUCCUAGGUUGUCAAGUGUUUAUACUUGAAACCUUUAACAGUCAUAAGACUAUGGACUCUUCUUCUCGUACUUAGGGGGAUCAGCCCUUAGUACCAUACUGUGCACAAUAUCUUAACGCUAACGCGUAUGUAAUCCUCUUUACAGGAUUGUUCAUCUCAGUUUGACAUUCGAGUCCGCACCAAAGGAAGUUUGGUUUGGAUAAUUCAUCAAGGGUUCUGAAAUUUAAAACGCUCAUCAACUAUGGACUAGUCAAAUCAAGUCUAACAAGGUUUAACAAUAACUGAUAAUUUAACUUGGAUACAAUCUCAAAAGUAUACAAUAGAAUAAUUAUUAUAUAACAACAUCAUGUUUGAAGGAUUAAUAAGCUUUAAUAUACGAAACAGACUUAAUCAAUAACAAUGAGAGUUUGCUUAAUGAUAACAAGUAGGGUUAGGAAACUUGCCUCGUGCAUAGAUUACACGUUAAUAAAACUCGUUCUUUGAUUUAAAUCCUACAUAUCAUUUACAUUCACAAUACCAGUCAAUUAUAACUUACUAAACAUCACACGUUUAUUCUUUGUCUAACUCGAGUUCAUGACUAUACUUAGUCAAUUACUACACUUAUUGUCAAAAAUUAAGACUUCACAAACAAUAAGGUAACUAUGCAUUUGAUCAUUCAAUUCACACGUAAUUGUGUUAAGGAUGUGCUAAGAAUUUAUUUUAACACCUCAUUAUAUGUCUAACAAGUCUUUAUAUUCAUUAGACUAAGUUACCAUCACAUUUCUAUACUCGAACACUUUAAAAAAAACAUUUUCUGGACAUUCUGCUAAGUGGCGCUGCGGCGCCACUUUUGUAGUGGGUCUUGGCGCUGCGGCGCCGUGGCACUGCGGCUUGGUACUUGGUGCUGCGGUGCGGUGGCGCUGCAGCACGGUGGCGCUGCGGUGCGGGAAAUGAACUAGGAGUUGGCACCGCGGCGCGACACUCCAUCCUCCCACAAUACCUUCAACUCGUUUAUUAGAGGUCUCAAGUAAACAUCUAGGUUCUUUCCAGGACUCUUGGGACCAGGAAUCACAAGUGAAAGAAACAAGUAUGGUUGUUUCAUACAUAUCUAAGGAGGCAAGUUGUACGUAGUAAUAAUCACAGGCCACCAGGAGUACGGAACAGCAGAGUGGCCGAACGGGUUGAAACCAUCAGUGGGCAAUCCAAGCCUCACAUUCCUAGGUUCCAAUGCAAACCCAAGAUGUGCUAAGUUAAAAUCCUUCCAAGCCUGCCCAUCUGCGAGAUGGUUUAGUUCCCCAUCUUUAGCUUGAGAUUUCACAUGCCAAGUCAUAUGUUCAGCUGUUCUAGAAGACAUGUACAAUCUUUUUAGCCGAUGUGUAAUUGGAAAAUACCUUAAAAUCUUAAAUGGUAUAUUUGUUUUUGUUUUUGUCACACCCUCUUUAUUAGGCAUAAACCGAUCAUGAAUGUAAAACGUGCACCUUGUCUCAUGUUCAUCUUACUAAUAAAAUAACAUGCAAUCAUUCAGACAUACAUCAAUCUUUUGGUAUCCAAGACCCAACUUCUUCACCAUUUUCUUACAAUAGUAGUAGUUUUCGGGCAAUUUUUCACCCUUAGGCAACAUACUCUUAAUGGCCUUCAAAAGCGACUCAAAACACUUAUGGCGCAUGUUGUAAUCAGCCUUAAUGUUGAGUAAUGUCACCACUGCAGACAAUGUAGUGUGCUUGGUGCAACCAUGCCACAACGGUUCUCUACCUUCAUCUAACAACUUAAAGAACGCUUUGGCAUCAGAAUUCAUAGGUUGCUCUCUACCUUGUUCCUAGUCAAAAUCCAGCCUGUAAUAUUACGAACCAUUUCAUUCGUACGAUGGGUACUGCUGCCCGGAUUGUGUACGUGUGAUGUACCACUAUCUCUUCUCUGACCAUGUGCCCACGAGCAUUCUUCUUAAUUUUUCAUGAACCCCAAAACAAGUAAAUGAUAGUUGAUAAUGUCUCUGUCCAUGUAAUUUACAUUCUUACAGUUCAAACAAGAACAUCUUAUCUUCUUCUGACCAUUUACACAUUCCGGGUUACUAUACGCAUAAUCCAAAAACACUUGGCAACCAGCUCUAAAUUUAGCUAAAGCACCUAUCUGGACACCUGACUUUUGUCAACUCAUCCAACUAUGGUCUGAAUAGAGGUCCAUGAUACCAUGAUACCUACUGCAGACAAGAAUUAUUGUAUUCCCAUUGUUAGAGAUUUACAAUUCAGCUCAAUGCCAUUUAUGAUGCUUAUAAAUAUAUAUAGAUGUAUAUGUACAUAUAUAACUUAAGUGUGCAUUAUAAAUGCUGCUUUGGGAAUGGAAUGAGGAUACAUACCAAAACAAGUAACAUAGCAUAAGAUGGACUACCCAAAGGCAUGCUAUAUUGUUGUGGAUCUCAAAUUAGAAUGAAGUAUGAUCCUAUGUCAUCCUACUUAUUUUAAUUGAAAACAUAUAUAGUAGCCUAAAGACAAUAGAUUCCUAGGGAUAAAAUAUGAAACAUUGCAUCAUACAUGGUCUGCAUAUGCAUUGGGACAAGUUUACAUCAUUUGUUUUUGCAUAUACGUAGGUAUUAUAUAAAUAUAUGCCUCUUUUCAAUUACCCGACCAACGAAAAUUUUUUGCCAUAGUCUCCCCUAUAAUAUGGACUAUCCACAUGCACGAGGGCAUGCAUAAAUUGCCAUUUAUAGGCACCCAACACAGAACCCAAGAUAAAUAUAUCAAUUCCCAAUAAAAACAAUUGUAGGCAGACUCAUAUAUGGCAUGUGACUUUGCGAGUGAUGGGAUAAAUUUCAGUAUAUUAUCAUAAUAUUAAAUUAAAAUUAGUAGCAUUUGUGACACCCCCGAAUCCAGAUACUCAAAUUUCCCUCAGAUUUGAUGUUCACUCAACAAAAUAAUUAACAUUUAACUACCCAUAAUAAUGAUAACCAUAAAAUUGAAAUGGAAAUCCUCCUAAUAUAGGGUUAUAACAUCUUAAACGAAUAAAUCUCAGGGUAUCUAACCUUAAUACAUCAGUUGCGGAAACAUCUUAAACAAAUAAGUCUUAAACAUUACAUCAUAAGUCUUAAUAUAAACAUUCUCAAAUAUUAAAUAAGUCUUUAUCAUUUGCUUGUUUUGCCCUUGCCCUUACUUGUGGAUGGCUCAUCAACUUUCUCAAUCUUAGCUGCAAUGUUAUUUUGCAAGAGUGAGAAACAAUUGCCCACAAGUUUAAUAAUAGAAUAAUAAUAAUAACAUGCGAAUAAACAAUGGAUACUGAACCAAAAGAAGUCUCGGCUUUUGAAUCAAGAUUAGAACAGGAAUCAAAAGUACAUCUGAGGGUCACAAGACCAUGAACUAUGUUCAAGGUUAUCAAGUAUUUCUACUUUAAACCUUUAACAGUCGUAAGACUAUAUGGACCUAACUUCUCAUACUUAGGGGGAUCAACCCUAUAUACCAUGUAUGUGCACAACAUCUUAACGCUAUCGCGUAAUAUAAUCCCAUGUAGUAGGGUUGUUCAACUCAGCUUUGCCAUUAGAGUCCGCACCGAAGGAAGUUUGGUUUGGAUUGAUCUCAAGGGUAAUUUAGAGUUUUAUAAUCAUGAACUAAGGAUUAGUUGAAUCAAUAAGGAUUUAAUAAUCAUUCACGAGUUCGUUAACAACGUAAUAUAUAAAGGAAUACAAUAGAAAUGAUAGAAUAUUGUUGAAUCAUAAGUAGAUAAGCAUCAUAUACAAGACAUGGUUCCAUAAAGGAAUAGUAGGCUUAACCAAAACAUAGGCAUUGAAUAAUAUAAGAAGCCUUGCUUGAAUAAUAAGCUAAGGUUUGCUCAAUAAUUAGAAUUUGAAAAGCUUGUACAACUAUAAUCAAGUUAGAGAUAAGGAACUUAAUCAAUAAUGAUAUAAAAUAACAAUUUGCUCAAUGUAGAAUUAGGGUUUAGAAACUUGCUCAAUGUAAAGAAGUAAGGUUUAGAAACUUGCCUCGUGCAUAGGCUAAAUGAUUACUACUCAUGUUCACCACAAGUCCUACACACAUACCAUAUGCAUUCACAACAUUCAUUAGUUACACUCAUAUUAACCUCAUAGGUUUAGUUCCCUCUUUUAAUACAACUUGUUAACUUAGUUUAAGUUCUGCCCAUUACCAUCAGUCUUAUAUACAAGACUGAAGUCUCACAUCUUAAGUUUGAUCAUCAAUACAUCUUCUCAUGAACAUAACGUUUAGCCCUUAUACAACUUAUCAAAUUACCAUAAAAUUUCAUCACAUGUAUGUUAACAAUCUGAUAUGACAUCAUAUUACAUGUCUAACACAUUAUUAUGUUCAUUAGCCUAGGUUAGACUAACAUGUAGUGGAGUGCACAUGACGAAAAUUGAAAUUGUCCAACUCUGUUACCCCUACCAGGGUGGGAUUUUAUAUAGAAAUAAGACCCGCUGGGACGGAGAAAUAAGCCUGGUAACACCCUCCGGGGCGGGGUCACCCAGAUACAAUUUCUGCAGUUUGUGACUGCACUAUUCAUCAGACCAAAAUUCAUGAAUUUCACAUGAAAUCAGUAGAUUUAACAAACCCAAAAGACAUAGACUUCACACAAUUAUUACCAAGCAUGCAUACAUCGAUUUUAAACAACAAAACUACUGUAUUCAUCAGAUUUAACCCCUUUAAAUUCAUGUUCUUGCUAAAAAGCUCAUUUUAGACAUCCUUAGCAAAUCAUCACGCCACAGAUUCAUUUCUUGACCAAAUCAGUUCGUGUAACAUGCAUUGUUUUCGUAUUUAAACAUAUUAAUACAAUCAAUCGUCAAUUUACAGAUUAUAACAUGGAUUAAAUACUAAUUUUGGUUCUAAAAUUAGUCUUUUUGUACUUUUUAUAACAAAACUUAAAUCUUUAUUUUAAAGCUUAUUUCAUACAAAUUUAACUUCUAAAAAUCAUUUUUAAGUCAAAUAUAACAGAUUAUAUAUACAUGUUAACAUAUAUAACAACUUAUCUAAUCGAUUCAUCAACCAAAACCCCAAUUUUAACACCAAAAUCAUAUAUAUUGUAUAUUUAUCAUCAAAACUCAAGUUCUUCAUGCUUUAACAGAUUUCAUGAAUUUUGAUUACUCUAAAUCAAGGAUAAUUGAUAUAAAACUUGUUAUAAACACAUACAAUACCAUAUUUCUAACAGUCAUCCAUAAAAUAUCAAUUAUAGAGAACUAAAAUAUGUUUUUAUGGAAAAACUUAAGAACAUAAUAAACAAGGAUUAGAAUUUGAAUUCUCACCCUUUGAUUCUUAUUUAGAUUCUAGGAAUUCCUCCUAUGAUUCUCCCAGUCUUCUUCCUUAAACUCAAUUCUCUCAAAUUAUCUUUUUUCUCUUUGUAAUUUCUCUGACUUAGGUUUUAGGAAAUAAAAAUGCGUAGAAGACACAAGACAGAUAUAAUGCAUAUAACUGAUAUACAUGGGUAUCAGUUAUGCGCAUUAAGGCUCAACAGUUACCCAUGGUCCUAAGGUAUUGUUUGGUUUUUUUCAAAUUGACUCCCUUUCCCAUUAUUUUAAUUAACUUGUUUAUUAUAUAGUUUAUUUGUCACACUUAACUAAUCAAAUAAUAUUAUUUAAAUUUAAUUAAAUUAAAGGCAAUAUUACCCAUUAAAUCACAUCAUCGCAUAAUUAAAAUUAUCAUUUAUUAAAUAUAACACAUAAUUUAUUUUUUCAAUAAAUCUCUAAUUAAUUAUUUAAUUAAUUAGAACAAUACUAAAAUUAUUUAACAACUCAUUGAAUUUAAUAAUCUCAAUUAAAUCCACACUUUGAAUUAUAACAUUAUUCCUCAUUAAUUUAAUUAAUCACUACAAAAAAAUAGACAUUUGGCAAUAAUUUUUUGUGCAAUGACUUAUAAAGUCAUUGCCAAAAAUGCAUGUUUAGCAAUGAAAUUUGUCAUUCGUUGCAGUUUAUGAAAGGCUUUCAUUUUUCAUAACGAAAUUCACAAGUCGUUGUAAAAAUUUGUUGCCAAAUCGUUGGCGGAAAAAAAAACACACCGCCUAUUUUCUUUUUUAUAACCGAUGAGAUUUCUUCUCAUCGUCGGCAACAAAAAAAAAUUUGUUGCUAUAUUUUGUUGCCUAAUAUAGGCCACAUUCAUAGGCAAUAAUUUUUUUUCGUUGCUUAUUUAAUACAUUUUUUUUGCAAUGACUAGUAAAUUGUUACCCAAAAUUAAGACAAAGCCAAUAAGCAUGCCUCAGUUUUCCCCCAAAACGCUUCAUUUUUCAUUAAAAUUUUUUUAUUUAUUUGGACACAAUUUUAUACAGUGAAAUGUUUCACUCCGUUCGUCUCAAAAUAAAUGCCCAGUUUUUAUAUUUUUUAAAGUUAUAAUUUUUGAAAUUAAAAUUGAGCACAUAUAGAUAUAUUUUCUAAUUUACAAAAAUUAAAGUUUAUAGUUAAUUAGAUGUAGUUUAUAAUGAUCAUAUUCGCACACUUAUAAUUUUGAAAAAAAAUAUAAUUAAUUUUCAAAAUAAUUUACAUAAAUUUUUCUUGUAACUCGUUAUUUUACAUAUAUACUUUUUGACAAGGGAUGGGCAAAGAAUCAAAAUCGCUCCCGAAAUUGCACCAAAAAUUGACCAAACUGCACCGAUUAAGUCGCGCCAAUGGUUCCGGCAUAGACCAAUUAAGUUACACCAAUGGUGUGUAAGUUCUUUUUUAACUCUCCUUUUUCAAAUUCUCCUUUUUUCUUAACUUGUAAAUUUUUUUAUAAUCAAAUAUUAAUUUCUCUUUAUAUCUUUAAUUAGAGGGUGUUUAGCAAUGACUUAUAAGUUGGUCAAACUAAAUUUAAGUCAUUUGUUAUUAUUUAGUGUUUGACAAUAACUUAAAUUUUAACUUUUUUUUGAAUUACAAGUCAUUAUUAAAUUUUUUCAUGCUUCAUGUGCUAUAUUUUUUAUGUAUUAGAUAAAUUUUACUACCAUCUAUAUAUAUAUAUAUAUAUAUAUAUAUAUAUAUAUAUAUAUAUAUAUAUAUAUUAAAAUAUUCAUAAUUACGUUAUAUAAAUAUUCAUAGUUACUUUGUCGACGUCGGGAUUUUUAUUGUCCCUUUUCUGUUCUGGUCUUUUGGUGUUCUCAUGUUAGGUGAAAUUUGUUUGAAAAAACAAGUUGUGAAAAGGUCCGAUAUGUAUAUGUCGGCGAUUGGACUGUAAGAGUCGCCAGUUGGUAUUUUUAAAUGGUUGCACCAACUCAACCGAGAAAAGGUUUGCACAUUAACCUAGUGAUGUAACACUGCUUAACAGAUCUGUGAAACCGAGAUUCGUUAGGGUCCGGGGGCUUGAUUAUGCGGAGAAAAGGUGUUAGGCACCCCCCGACAUCUGUGUUACCACGGUGACCGCCACUUUUCAAUUAAACUAUUAUAUGAAUGUGUGUAUGUGUGUGUGGGUCAAUGUGCAAUUAUCGGGAAGUAGUGAUAUGUCUCGUUUGCACCUAUAUACAAAGGGUUUGAAUUUUGUAUAAAAGUUUAGUUUUAACAAGAUAUAACAAUGAUAUUUUGUAAAAGAGGUUUUCAAACCCUUAUGCUCAAUAGUAAUUGAGGCCUUUGAUACUUCCAUUUUAUUAUGUGUUCAGUUUAACUGCUUUUAUGUUUGAGAUGUGAGGCAUCUUCGAGAAAAUAAGAUAUAUAGCAGUGCCGAAUUCCUUAUGGGCAUGAGAGACAUCUAAGGAAAUUCAAACACUGUGAAUAAUUUAAAAGCUGGAUACAACUGAAAAUGUCCAUCACGGGAACCGAAUCUAGAUCCAGAAGACUGAAUUUGUGAUCACAUGAUUCCUAAACUCACAUGAUGUUGUAGUUUGUAUGAAAGCUGUAAGCAGUUAAAUAUAUAUAAAAGCUAUAAAUAUAUAUAUAUAUAUAUGAACGAUCAACCACCACGGAGUAAACUCCAUGGGGAUUAGAAAUGUAAAUAUAUAAAAGCUGUAAAUAUAUAUAGAGAUAAUCAACCACCACGAAGUAAACUCCAGGCGGGACUUAAUGUAAAAUAAAGCAGUAAAAGGCCACAAAGUAAAUUUCAGGCCUAACAAAAAUCUAAAUAUAUAUAUAUAAGCAAUAAACGCUCCGGAUGUGAAUCCAGGCUCAAUCGAGGCAUAACUCGAUGAUGUUAGUAUAAAUAUAUAUAUAAGUAUAUAUAUACAAAAGAAAUAAAAAGCCACGGACCGAAGUCCGGGCAUACGCACACAACACGACUCUCAAAGUGAAUAAUUGUGAGUGCAGAAAGUGGAGAAAGGCUUUAAGAAAUGUAAGAAGUCUUACAGCGGGAUGUCAAGAAGACUUCAAAUAGCUUUAAUUGAAUGAACACUUGGUUUUCACCGGUAAAAUAUAGCAAAAUAUAAGCUCGCAAGUGUUUAAAAUGAGAAAGCACUAAGUUUAUAGUGUGUACAAAGCAAAAUUGACUGGGCUUCCUCGCCUUUUCUCUUUCUAAAAUGGCCACCCCAAGCCCUUUAUUUAUAGAGGGGGGAGCCACAAGUGUACCUACGGCAGCCGCAGAUGUAUCUGCGGUUGCCCGAGGUGCCCCAGGCUCCGUGGGUCCCGCCGUCUCAAAGUACGUGCAUGCAUGCAACGCGUUGUCCACUCGAACCUUCAUAACUUUCAAUCCGGGUAUCCGAUUAAGGCGUAUAAUACCUUUUCGGAAUGCUGUUGUCGAGAGCUACACAAUGACAUGUGAUAAGAGGUUAUACGAAGUCGGGAAGAUAGGGCCAUGCCUAGAUCUUUGGGUCUUCAAAUUCCAUCAAGUGUGCUGUCUUGUGUAGAAAUCACUCGGGAUUUAAGCUAUGGUUCUUGUAGGACACUUCUGUGUAGAAUGUAUGUUGAAAUGUUGUUGAGAUGGCGCAAUGUGGGAUCGAGGUGGCAAAAUGAUGAUUUUUCCCUUCACUGGGGUUAUCUCCGGUUUGGGCUAAUUUAGCAGUCAUUGCUCAGGGUUAUCUCUGAGAUUGGGCUGCUGUGAGUACUAAAGGUCCUCAGGGUUGUCUCUGAGGUGUGCCUGACCUCUUAGGGUUGUCUUAAGGGUUGGAAUUGAGUGCCUCGGGGUUAUCUCUAAGGUUGAAGCUGAUUGCAAAGGAUUGGAAUGAGCUUUUUUGGGGUUAUCUCUGGAACUGCAACUGCAUUUCUUGGAGUUAUCUCUGAGGUUGAAACUGAAACUCCUGGGGUUAUCUCCGGGAUGGAAAAACUAAUAAUUUCGGGGUUGUCUCCAGAACUGGAACUGCAUUCAUCGGGGUUGUCUCUGAGGUUAGAACUGAAACUCCCAAGGUUGUCUCCGGGACUAGACUGAGUAUCUCGAGGUUGUCUCUGGAACUGGAACUAGUUGGUCCUCCAGGGUUAUCUCUGAAAGACGAUUCUAUUCUCCUACAAUGUUAGUAAUAGGAAUACAGAAAUUUUUGAGUGUCUACAGAUGUCCCUCUUUAUCAUAUUCAUGCAAUGUAAUGGUAUGGAUAGGAUAAAGAAUACUAGACACUUGAAAUGUGACAAGAUAAUCAUAAUGCAAUGUACUGCAGCAUGAUGUAUAUGCAUGAUGUAUGUGGUUUGUUGGACCUUUUUCCAACAGGAUGUGAUGACUAUUCCCACGGCUUCUGAUGGGGACUGGAGUUAUCACUGAUGAUCAUGAAGAACUGCUUGGAUGUGUACUCCAAAGCUCUCAGGAACUUCCAGGAUGUUGACGUUGGGGUUAUCACCAAAGUCCUAAAUCCUUGAUACAAACUUCCCACUGAGGAUGUAUCUCUCAUGUACAAGAGAUUUUGGGGAUUUUUGUUCUGUCUAAUGAAGAUGUGUAUAACAUAUUCCAUCAUCAGGGAAGAUGUUCUUUCCUAGUUUGUAUUGUCAGGUCCUUCCAUUGCUCUGUCGGAGUUAUUGCCAAUAGUCUGUGUUGUCAGGGCUGCCUGACCCUCGCUAAAUGUACAUCAACGGAUGAGAUCCCUGCUGGGGAUAACGUUAAGGCUGCUUGACCUUCGUUGAUGUGUGUAUCAAUGGAUGAGAUCAUCGGAUAACUUCUGAUGCUUCGCUGGAUUUACCUUCCAGUGACUGAAUGUCGUCAAGGUUGCUCAACCUUCAUUGACGUGUGUAUCAAUGGAUGAAUUGGAUAAAGUUUUCACUGGGGGAAAAUGUUUUAGAGUUACAACCCCGGACUGAUGGCAUUGGACCUUCGUGAGGUAUUGUCGAGUUUAGUUUGCAACAUUUGUGAUCAUCGGUAUAGUAAACUUUUCAUUUGGGCAAAUACCAAUGAGUGAUAAGUAGACCCGCAGUUUGGUCUCUGAAAACUAGGAUUUCAGGCUUUUAUGCUCAAUCGCAUAUCAUCUUUUUUCCUGAUUUGACUUUUUUAGCUUGUGAGACCUCCUUUGUAACUCAAAUUAGACCAAGCCGGAGGGGUGGGCCCCACCCAGGGGAGCCGCAGGUACACCUGCAGCCAACCGUGGGUGGCUUUAAGGCACCUGUUGCUUUCAUAAGUCAUUUUCAAGUUGCGCCACACAGAGAAUCCGAGAGCUCUUCUUCAGAUUUGCUGAGUUCGGGCAGCUUUCUGCAAAAUAUGUCACCGUACAAGUGUUCUACACUAUCCUGGUAACGUAUGCAUGUCUGCUUUUCCAAUUUUUAUCCGUUGGAAAAUGAGUUAUCAUAUGAAAUGCUUCUAAACACAUAUUACUGAAUAUGCAUGCUCAUAUGACUUGAUAAAAAAUAUUUAAUACAGUAAAUGUUAAUAUUUAACCAUGCUAAACAUAAUGAUGUGAAAAAAUUUAACUUUUGAAAUAGUCAAAUUAACACUUUUUUCUGCUAUUUUUUAUCCUAUUUGAGGACAAAUGAACAAAGGUGGUAAAGCAAAGUAAUCCUGGUAAUUAGGCUACCCUUACGGAUUAUGACUUUAAUAUUUUUAUGCAUAUAGGAUGUUUAUGAUUGUGGGUAGGUGUGCUACUGAAUGACCACCUAGUCAUGCCUAUGUGCAUGUGGAUAGUCCUAUUUACAAAGGAGACUCUGGCAAAAUUUUCCAAAAUGUAGGCAUUGGGUAGUCAUGCAUUUUUAACACUACUGUAGGCAUAUGUUAAAGUAAUGCAUGCAUGCAUAUAGUCAUAAAAUGCAUUUGAAAAGCUCCAGGUUAGAGUUUACCACACCCUUUCUGAAGUGAUUUGGAGACUUGUAUCCAAAUAUAUGGAUCCGGAUCAGCCGAGUAGUUCCCGCAGGACCACUUCAGGUGUGCGGAGGAGGGCUUCUAAUGUACCUCAACCCCAUUCAGUUAGACAACCUCGUCAUUUGAUGGAGGUGGUGAUCCGUCCUAUCCGGGUUGAGGUACCAAAUGUUGAGGACGAGGAGGAGGAUGUACCGAUUGUGGACCCCACUCCUGCUACUUAUGUUCCCCGCAGGGAUCUUCCAGGCAUUCAGGUGAUGAUUCUAGAGCUCCUGAAUGAUUUGAGUUGACACCCCUCAAUUUACUUACAUGCAAACAAGGUACAAGCUGGAUUUGAUCUUCCUUUUUCCUAUAGAUGUGGAGCAAGGAUUUUGAUGUUGAUUUGCUUUAUGAUGUAGGAUCCUGGCUUUACGCAGACUCAGUCUCUCCAUUUGUUGGACUGUGAGGUGAUGAUGACGUCGAUGGAUUGGCGAUUUAUCACUGGUAUAGAGUUUGGAGGGGCGCCAGUGCCUUGUACGGCGAAUAUUACCCCGACUGUCGUCAAAUCCUUGCUAGGAGUCCUGGUUGAGGCGCUCAAGGGUAGGACAGUUCGUACAGGUCCUUUGAGUGUGGAUGUUAUGAGUGGGCUGUUGAGUGAGCCCAUACCUGAUGAUGUGAGAGUUAGGAAUCGCAUUCUUCGGCGAUUGUUCCUGAUAAUCAUUAGGGGCUACUUCAUAGCGGAUAACUCUUCCACCAUAUCAUUCACUUUGGUCAGUACCACACGAGAUGUGGACCGUAUUGGAGAGUAUGACUGGGGUUCCUAUACCUUCGCCUAUUUCCUCAAGGGUAUGCGUUCGUAGGGCUUGACGGAGGCUUGGCUAGGAUUUUACCUAUUUCUACUGGUGAGUAUUUCUCUUAUGAUUUCCCAUAUGCAGGUUAAGAGUGUUGACUGACAGCAAAUGUUUGCCUUUGUGUUGGCAGUUUUGGGCCUUUGAGAGGCUCUCAUGCUUGCGUCCUAUGAGUGUGUUAGGUUUAGAUACCUAUCCACGAGGAUGGAGAUGGCAUCACUCCAUACUGGCGGAGGUUCCUGUAGCUGAGGGUUUCACCCAUUGUCAUCUACAGUUGGAGUUCUUGACAGCUGAUGCUAUCACUUGGAUUCCCUAUUCUGGGGAACAUUUGACUGUUGGGUUUCAGGUCGGGUACCCGACUGGUUUCGAGUAUAUGAUAUCCACCCGUAGGAUUCCUCUCUUCAUAGAUGGAGGAUGGGAGCUCUAUUUGGGAGAGCGUGCUAUUAGGAGCACUAUAGAGGAGAUUCGUGUACCGAUCUUGCCUCCUGUCAGGCAUUAUUGGCCUGUUUCACAGUCGCUUGUCAGUGAUAUCCCAUUGAUGGGCGUUGACGGCUUUACUUUUUCAAAGGGUCCGUAUACUCAGGAUAUGUUCCAUCACUGGUGGUCCCCUCGUACUAUCAGAGCCCAGACCCUCGCCACUCAGUUCAUGGGGGAUAUGGUUCCUAGGUCCAUGAUGAUGACGGAUUGGAUGGUCUAUUUCUGAGAUCCGACUCAUUAAACACAGAUUGAAAGUUUGACCCGGCAGUUCGACCGGGCACAUUUCUUUAUCCUGCACUUGGGUAGAGAUCCUUCAGAGGCAGAUACUUUUGAUCCUUCCAGCUCCGGGCCUGGCCAUUUAGGUGACCUGUAUGUUUUUGUCGACGUAGAUCCUCCAUUGUAUAGGCCUGACAUCCCACUUGGUGGAGAUCCAGUGACUCAGGAGGAGUUACAUUAGGUAGACAGGAUUGAUGAUGUUGACAUUGAUACCAUUGUCUUCUUCUGAUGUGUAUUCUCGCUAUAUCUUUUGAUAGGCCUCUAUUAGAUACUGGGUGGAUGUGUCCCAUUCUUGUUAUAUCUUUUGAUAGACCUCUAUAAGUUAUUGGGCGUUUGUGCCCCAUUUCCCUGUAUUUUUAGUUGUACAGAGAUGAUGUGCUUAAGAAUGUAUGUACUAUUUUCCAUUCCCUACAUCAUAUUGCCAUCUAUUGUUGAUCAUGCAUGUAUCAUAUUAUGCAUAUGUAUGUCCAGAGAUAUUCAACAUUGACCCCUGCAUAGUCUUAUGAUACGGCCCACACAUAUGUCUUCUUCGACAGUCAACCGCAUUGAUCACAUCCCACCAGUAUUGGUAGCCUCCCGUCUGAGGUCAUGGUAUGAUAGUUUGCCACCUCCAGACCCGGUGACCGUAGAUCAGUUAUUACAACAUUCCAUGACCCUCCUGAUGUUCUAGGUUUUUGUGGGCUUUGUAGAUGGAAUGUUGGAGCAUUGGGUAUUUGAGAGGCAGGUUUUCCGAUUGGGGACCCAGGAGUCGACUCUCACCUUCGAGGAGUACGAGCGGUUGACAGUUUUGUCACUAGACAGGACUUAUGCUUGGAUGGCUAUCGAUGACAUGAGCUGCCAGUUCAUGACCCUCACCAGGCUGAGGUGUAGAGUAGUAGAGGAUGAGAUUACAUUCGGUCAUGUGGUGUCCCAGCGUUUUCUGAUAGACAAAUUUGGCUCAGUGGACAGUUAUGCACGACUUUGGGGAUUUUACCACGUCGGAGGAUCAGUGGCAUAUGGCUAGAGUAGACGUACUCAUGAUGUGCGUAGUGGCUUAUGUGUACAUGCCACUGUAUAUGGAUGAGCUGGACAUUGGUGUUAUCAUGGCAGUGAGAGCUCUCAAGGAGGGUCAUACCAUUGUGCCGAUGAUUGUGACAGAGACAUUGAGGUCGACCAUAUAUUGCCACACUUAUCCUGCAUGGGUAUUCAUAGGUAGCUCGGUCCUGAUGUAUGUGUGGUUUAUGUCACACCUGAGACCGAUUGGCACCUUCCAAUGACAUGGGUAUUAUUUUUUCCAUGAGAUAGCCAUAUCUUACUCCUUUCAUCCAGCGGAGUGUACAGACGCUAUAUUCUGUUCGGUGUUUUUGGUAGGGAUCGGAGAUCCGUUUGACAUUUUGCCGUGUACAAGGCUUAGUUCACCCUACAGCUUCAUUACUCAUGCAUCUGGCAUGGAUUAUCUCCCUCUGGCUGGUUUGAGGGGAAUGACCACUUAUCACCCACUGGCUGUGUGUCACAGUUCGACCAGUUUCAAGACGUCCAUCCUUUUGAGGGGGCAUUAGGUCAGCGUUUGGCUUCUUGCCAUUUGUUAGAAGAUGACAGAUCUAAAGUGUAUGCAUGUUAGGAUCAGCGUGAGCUAGCUGAGUUUUCAGUUAGCCAUUUGGCCUGUUUGGCAGAGUAUUCUGCAUGGAUGGAGAUAGAAACUACAUCAGUUGCAAUAGUAUCCACAGUAUCGGGGAUUGAUUAUGAUGGUGGAGAGCCCGUAGAGGACAUUGAUUCUCCUACUGAGGAGUUGUUUGCUGGUUUGACAACAACUCUUGUUGAUUCUCCCAGUAUAACUGCUACUAUGACCCCGCAUUCAGCAGAGUAUUUAGAGCAGAGCCUGCAUCUGAUGACAUUUGAGAGAGAUCAGGCUAGGGCCUUGAUGUUGACAGCUCUUGCUGGUAGAGAUGUUGCUUUAUUGGAGAGAGAUGAUGCUUUAACUCAUAGAGACACCACUAUUGCUAAGCAUGAUGAGACUAGAUCAUCUAGAGAUGUAUUGAUUAUUGAGUGGGAUGGCGCUAUAUCUGCCCGGAAUGUAGCCGUUACUGAUAGUACUACAGCGAGGUCCCAUACUACUGCUAUUGUUGCAGAAAUGAGGGCUUUUAUUGAUGAGCACAGUGUCACCAUGCAGUUGGCUGUGGAUUUGUUGGCUCGUGUAGAUACCCUUAGGCAGGAGCUCACAGCGUUACCUCUUUUUUCAGAGAGAGAUGCCAUGUUGGACUUGAUAGCUCGCAUAUACACUGAUUUAUAGAUGGGCUUGUAUUUUUCUGCACAGUCUAGCUUAGCCAUUUUGUCAUGUACAGUACAUAUUGUAUAUAUCAAACAUCAUUAUAUAUGGCAGGAAAAUAUAUUUUGAUUCACUUCCCUUUUAGUUGUGCCUUGUUACAUGCUUGAUAUUUGUAUGCUUCUCUAGGACUUGUGAUCUUGAUGUAUUUUGAACUCAUCCUUGAUGGGUGGACAUUGAGAUGUCUCAGGAUCUUUCAGAAUGGAUCGUUGAUCUGUGUGUAUUCCCUACCCUUUGGUGUAUUGGGACUGGUUUCUGUAUGUAGUAAUGGGGAGGAGUGUGCCUUUCCUCUCUGAGGUUGACCCCACCACAGAUGGUCGUCGGUACUCCUUUGUAUGGGGGAGUCCAGGUAGUUCCAUCUCUUAUGGAUUGGUGUUUCUCUUUGAGGACUCAACCGUAGCUUAGAUGGUCGUCGAUUCUCCCAUUUGUGUGGGGAGAUCAGUUAGUUCCAUCCCUUUGGUCUAAAGUCGAUAAAGUGUGGUGAAUUGAAGGUUGAUCCCAGUACCAUGUGACAAGUUUUUGUGUUUUGGUAGGGGUAAGACUGAACCAUGAAUGGUUGCCUACGUACUCCUAUUGAAGAGGAGAUCAGGUCUGCUAGUUCGAACCUAGUGUAAGAGGUUCAACGAUGUAUGUGAAAGGGUGUAGAAGGGUGUAGAAGUGUUUUUUUUAUGUGGUGUGACCGGGCCAUAAAAACAAGGUUCUAAAAGGCGCUAGGCGGGAGGCGGGCGGCCAGGGGAGGCCUAGCGCCUGGGGGGCCUAGGCAGGAUUUUUUAUUGUAAGUCAAUUUUACUAUUUUAUCUCACAUUAUUCUAACAAAACAAUAAUAUAAAGCAAAAUAAUCUAUAAUAAAGAUAAUAAAGGCAUUUGUUUAAAGUUUAAACACAUUCAUAUAGCCAACUUCAAAGUUUAAACAAACACACAAUUGUUCAAAAUUCAAACACAAACAAAUAAUCAAAAAUACAAACUAAUAGUCUUCAUCCCCAUAUCCCUCUAUAUUUCUAACUCUUCAUCUCCAUAUCCCUCCAAGAUAAUGUCUCCAUUGGACUCACACUCAUACUCCUCAUCUCCCUCUUCCUCUAUGUCAUCAUCAGACAAAAAAUCUUCUUCAUGAAGUUCUCUUACUCCAACAAUUCUACUACUUCUCCUAGGCUCUAGCAUGUUAUCCGCUCUGGAUGUUUCACCAACCGUCUCCCAAAUAAGGCCCGAACAACCCUUAACCUCAUCAUCACCACCUUCAACAAUCCAUCCUUGCACUUUUGAAGCAUCACUUGCUAGUAGCACAUCUACUUUCCUAUCUUUCUCCCAUUUCUUUUUGUUAUUAAGCCUUGCAUUAAAUUGGACAUAGACUAGAUUGUUCAACCUUGUUGCAUCUAGUCUAUUCCUCUUCUUUGUAUGAAUCUACAAAAAAUGAAAUUGUUUUUUAAAAAAAUAAAAAAAUUAUAUAUUUAUAUUAGAUUUUACUUAAUAAACCACUUACUAGUUACUAUAUACUAUGUAGUUGAUAUUUACCCCCUCAAAAGUACUCCAAUUUCUCUCACACACAGAUGAACUAGUAGUCAACGAAAGAAUCCUUGUUGCCAUCCUUUACAAGUUAGGUGUACUAUUACCAUAAUUGGACCACCAUCCAACUAGUCAUUAAAGAUUGUAAAUUAUUAACAAAUAUUUUAACAAGUAUUAAAUAGUAAAGAAAGAUUAAACAAUAAAUAUUUAUACUCGAAUCAUAAUUAUUAUCAUUUGUUGCACAUCCCGCCGCCGCUAAAGGUCUUGCAAACCCACCCUCUUUUUUUUAUACUUCAACAACUCUAUAUUUAUGACAAGACUUUGCAUAUUGAAGUCAUCGGGAAAGAACUUCUCAACACAAGUAAACAUCGCAUCCAUGACAAGUGGAUCACUUUGUAUGUUAGGAUCUUUAAAGAAGUGAUAAGGGUUCAAUUGGUAAGCCGUCAAAUGCAAAGGACUAUCAAGCCGGUCUUUGGCUUUAGCAUCGAUAAUCGCGAGAAUGGGACGAUAGUUAGUCCCAUUAUUUUUGAAUGCCUCUUUGAUCUCUUCAUUUGCUUUUUUGAGUUCUCCAUAUAAAAAACCCAUUGAUGGCUUUUGGUCUCCAUCAACAAGGCGAAGCACCUUUACCAAUGGAGCAAACACUUUCAAGCAUAGUGUUACUUCAUUCCAAAAACUCAAACUCAAGACAGUAGCAUACGCCAUUUUUCCCUUAGUAUUUUUUGACCAUUUGCAUUGAUCCCAUUCAGUACUAGUAAACAUAUACCUCAACUUCUCUUUCUUUUCCAUCAAACUUUGCAAAGUUAAGAAAGAAGUUGCAAAUCUAGUAGUGCCAUGACUCACUAUGUCUCUCUUUUUUGUAUGUUUCCUCAUCAAUGCCAAUGUCUUAUGAUGUGCAUAAAUAAAGAUAGUAAAGGCCUUUGCUUUCUCAAUCACUCCCUUAAACUUUGGUAGCUUGCCAAUUCCUUCAAGCAUGAGGUUCAAAGUGUGAGUGGCACAAGAAGUCCAAAACAUAUGUGGCCUCUUUAUCAUUAACAAGUCUGCCGCGGUCAUGUUGUUGGAAGCAUUAUCAGUAACAACUUGCACUACAUUUUGUGGCCCAACUUGUUUAAUGAAAUCAUCUACAUAUUUGAAAAUAUAUUCUUUAGUGUGUGCUUCCUCAGAAUCUUCUUUACAAGAAAGAAAAGUUGUGCCCUCUUUGCAAUUCACACACAAAUUCAUGAUACUUCUUCUUUUUCUAUCAGUCCAAGCAUCGGUCAUAAUCGAACAACCAUUGAAAGACCAUUCCUCGUCUUACUUCUUGAGUGACUUCUUAGUCCUCUCUACCUCCUCUUUCAAUAAUGGCUCCCUUAGUUGGUAUUGGCUUGGAGGUUGGUAACCCGGGCUGUAACGACCGAGAAAUUCGGAUUUUAUUGUAAAAUGAUUUUAUUAAAUUAAAUAAUAAUAAAAUCAUAUUCUUUGUGAUAUCAAGAUGGUUGUCAUUCUAUAACCUAUUGAUGUUGGAAUGUCGUAGUAUUUGAGCUACGUGAAGGAAUUAAAGUGUUUGAAUUUCUAAGACGAAAAUAAAAGUUUUCCGAGAAAUUUUCUGAAAAACACUAUUCAUCGGUAUUUGCUCGGGAAUUAUUUUUCAAUUUUCGAGAAAUACGUAAUGAUAGAAUAUCAAGGUAAGACGAAUUAUGUAAUAAUAAUCUAGUUAUGGAAAACGUAAUAUUUCGCUUGCGAACUUAAUUCGAGAAUAUUAAGGAAAGCGAAGUAUUAGUAAGAAAUCGUUAAGGGUAUGAUACUUAUGUAUUGUACAAGGGAAUGAAAACGAGUAUAAUACAAAGUAUUAUACGAGUUUGUAUGAAGGAAGGAAUAUCGUAUAUAAUAAAGUUGUAUACGAAUUAUAAUACGAGAAUAAUACAUAGACAAUAUGUAUAUGUAAUGGAUUUGGAAGAUUGGUUAACAAUUGGUACAAGCCCAAGUGAAUUAAAUGUUAAGGCCAAAUGUUAAUUAAUGAACAAGUUAAUUAAUGCAAGCCCAAAAGAUAGGUUAAACUAAGCCCAAAUUAAAGUCCAAUGGGUUAUGGUGACCCAUGGGGCAAACCAUACUAAUGUGGUUAAUGUGUGGUAACCAAGAUAAGUGGUGACCAAGUUAAGUGGUAACCAAGUUGAUGUAAUGACCAAGCAAAGGAUAGGUUUUGUGCCAUGCAAGUAAUGAAUAGUAAGGAGGUUCAUAAGGAGAUGGGAUUGGUUUAAAGUCCAAACUACCCUAACUUUGAAAAAUCUAUAUAUAGAGGAGGCUUACAAGCCAUUUUUUAGUUGUUCAAAUAAUCCAAACACUCUUUCAAAGUGCUUAAUUGUUAGGGUGAUUAAGUUGCAAAUAAGUUACUUACAUAAGAAGAAGAAGAAGACUACUUACAAAGACUUCAAAUGUAAGACUCCUCUAAUUAUCUUCUAUCUCUAUUCAUGAUAGGUUGAUAAGCAAAGAUGAAUUAAGGAACAUGAAUGUUAAGAAGUGAGAAGAAUGUGUAAGUAAUGAACUAAAGCCACAUAAGUUGGUAAUAAGUCAUUUAAGCUAGCAUAAGUUAUAAACUUAUGUGAAAGUAUUAUGAACUUGUCAUGAGUUUGUUAAUGAAAGUAAAGGAAUUGUAUGUAUAUUAAUCAUAUAUACAUGAAUGAAACUAUAUGUGAAAACAUGUAUGCAUGAUGAUUAAAAGAUAAUAACUUUCAUAAGUUAUGAACAAUGAAGCUAUAAGUAGUUUAUAAUUGAAUAAGUUAUAAGCUCAUGAAUGAAUUAAGUUAAAAUCCAACAAUGGAAAUAAGUUAUUGUAUUAAGUAUGUGAAUAUGUUUAUAGAAUGAAAUGAAUGCAAGUGAGUAAUGAACAAAUCAUAAGUAAUGAAGAUUUGCCAGAAAUCGAACGAUUAGACGAUAAUCGUCGAAUUCAUGAAAUUCCCAGAUUAGAAGUCAAAUUUUGAGUUUGAACUCGGAAAUGUAAUUUUCCAAUGGAGACAAGUCAUAUUCGUCAUUUUAGAGUUGCGAACUCAAGAAUGACUGAAUUCCGACUUAUAAUGAAGAAACGAGCGUUGAACGUUCACGAACGUUUAUCGUUUACGUUAAAAAUGAACCAAUAGGUGAAUUUUUAGCAAACAAAGUCAAAUAGAUAAAAUUUUUGCAUGAACGCGUAGAUUACGUAAUUUGUGAACCGUAGGCUUUUGAACGAGCCAAUUCGGACUUAUAACGAAGAAGUUAUGCGUCCGGGAAGUUCACAAAAUUUAAAGUUUGAAAAAAUUUUCUGGUGCAUAGAGUUGGCGCCGCGGUGCCAACCCUAGGCCAAAUGAUGGCGCCGCAGCGCCGUAACAGUAACCGAGCAUACUGGAAACUCGCGCCGCAGCGCAAACUGUAGAACAUUUUAUGGCGACGCAGCGCCAUGAACAGACCAUGCCAUACUGGAAAGUGGCACCGUAGCGCGGCCCACUAAGUAAGGACUCGCGCCGCAGCGCCAAGUUCCUGACCUCUCCACUAUUAACUCACGCCGCAGGGCGAGCUGUAGUUAUAAAGCUGGCGCAGUAGCGCCAGUCUCAGAACAAGGAUAGUGAAGAAUAUUUCUAAGUACAAAGAAAGAAUGGUAAUGGAUUUAAAAAUAAACAUACUUUAAGGAACAUAACUUAACAUUGUUUAAACUUUGUUAAACCUUAAGGAUGUUGUAUAAAGGUUGAGAUAACCUAGUCAAAUGUAAAUGCAAGUAUAAUGAUAAACCCGAAUGAAUAGUAAAUAUAUCUAAUACACAAUUAGAUUGAGAUGAAGGGUAAGAUAGUCAUAUAUAUACUUGGUUAUAUAUGACCUAAUGUGAGGCAUUAUGUGGUCAUGUAUUGCAGAGACUUGAAAGACUUGAACGUAAAGUAUUUAUACCGUAGCAGACGCUAAAGGCAAGUAUUCUAACUCUUGUCUCAAUUCAAUCUGAACAAGUUUUGAAGUUCGUGUAUUCUUACGCAUGAACUAAUGUAUGAUGAAGUUAAAGCCAAUCCUUUCAGCUAGACUUGACUUAUUGAGUGGAUUAUUGAUAAUCUUUCAGGCACGCGAGGUUGCCACCAAUUAAACGUACAUACGUUUAAUGAAUGUAGUGUUUAUCAACAUAGAGUACAAUAGGCUGAUCACCUAGAAGUGCUCAUAAGUAAUACCGGUCUUACGGACUUAGUUCCGGGUUGUCCUUUUCAAAGAAGAAAGAAAUGCUCGAGGUCUUUGACUGGAGUGAAUGUUUUACUGAAUACUGAUAUUAUUGUAAAACAUUUUUAAAGAAAGAUGAAAUGCUAUUUUGAAUAAUUAAUAGUACUUCAUAACUAUUGUUCAGUUAUUAAAGAUAUACGAUUCGUAUGUAUCAAACAUGUUAUUUAUUGAAAAUGUCAUACUUGCUGAGCUAGUUAUGCUCACUCUUGCUUGAACCAUAUGAAUGCAGCUAAGACUGAAUGUCCCGAAGGAUCGAAUAAGGAUAAAGGAAAAGCUAAGGUAGAUCGUUAAGCUGCCUAUGUAAUAGUAUAGGUUAUUGUUGUAAUGUUAUUGAUAUUAUGACAAAGAACCUUUGUAAUAGGUUUAGAACUUGGGACAAUGUAAUUAUUAUUUUGAUAAUAUAGAAGAGAUGUUCGUUCUUUUGAGGCUUUUCAAUUGAAUGAAUGUAUGAAUGUUAUUACAGUAUAGCACCAUCUGUCAGGUUGGAAGAUACCCGAAUUUAGGGGCGCUACAGGUUGGUAUCAAAGCCUAGGUUGUAAAACUUAAGGGGGAUUAGAACCUUAAGUCAUAACCUUAAUAAAGAAGUAGAAGAUGAAAGAUAACCCUAUAAAAAUGUAUUAUCUUAUGUUAAGUGUUUUUAUUAUUUUACUAACGUGUACUAAUCAAACAAUAUUGUUUUAUUGUAGAUGUCAGGUGAAAAUGAUAUGUAUAGAGAUAUACAUGUAGUGAGCGAGGAUUCGGUUAAUCGAGUAGAGGUACUACCCAAUCCCGUAGCAGUAGAACCAAAGGUGCUGACUAUCGAGUCUGGAGACUCGGACGAUUUAGACUACAUGUCUAUAUUUGAUGGCAUGCUAGAGGAAGAGGUGGACGUGAUGUCCUUUGAUCAGGUUCCACCUACAGAAGAGUUGACUACGGGGGAGUCAAUGAAGGCGUUGUUCAUGUCAAUUCUGGAUAGAAACGUCCACUAAUGUCAAGAAGUUAGGGAGUUCCAAGAGGAACUCCAAGCUGUCCGGGAGGACAAAUUAAGUAUGGAGGGUAUGUUGGAAGAGGAACACGAUGAUCGUGUUUUAGCCAAGGACAAGGUCCACGAGCUGAAACACGAAGUCUUUGAGCUCAAGCAGGAGCUAAAGACUAAACAGCAGAAGAUAGAGAGGAUGUCCUAUAUACAUAGGAGUUCUCAUGUGGACUUCCAGCAACAAGUAGUUGGAUAUCCAGUGGAAGCAGGGCAGACUCGACAUACCAUUAGUCGAGAUGUCAUAGCCGGUUUGGCCAAGAAAGAUUUCGAUAAUGCCAUUCGGCAAAUGUAAUCUAGUUAUAGCUAGACUAGUUUAGAUAUGUAAAUAUUAUGUAUCUAGUAGUGACGUAAAACUCUCUUUUGUAUAUCAAGGGUAGUCUUUUGUAAAUCCCAAUUUUUGGAAAACAAUUGCGGGAUGGUAAUGUAAUCAGCUAAGGCUGAGUAAUGUAAACAAUGUAGUGUUAUGCUACAAGUUAUGAAUCAAUAUAAGUCUUUUUAUGGAACAUAUUGAGUAAUGGGUAUGAGUUAUUAUUUCAGUACAAAUAAUAACAAAACAAGAAGAAGAAAGUAAUAAUGACGUGUUGUUUUCUUAACAGCAAAAUGCCGCCAAGAAGGAGACAACGAAAUCAAGAUACUAAUGUUGAACAACCGGAAGAAGGUCCGGUUAAUCCAAUACAAGAGUUCGUUAAUCUUUUAACGGCUGCGUUUAAUAGAACUGGGGCUAAUGUACCCAUAAAUCCUGGAGUAGUGAUAGCUACUACUUUUAAGGAUUUCAAAAGUGUCGGUCCGCCGGAGUUCAAAGGAACUACAGACCCAAUAGAAGCCCAAACUUGGGUGAAAGAAAUUGAGAAAGCAUUUGUAAUAUCAAAUGUUGAGGAAGGUCAAAAGGUUGCCUUUGCAACCUAUAUGAUGAAAGGGGAGGCCAAUUUCUGGUGGGAGGCAAACCAGGUUAGGGCUGGAAUAGAAAACUUAACGUGGGUAGGGUUCAACGAGAUUUUCUUCUAGAACUAUUUUCCCACGAGUAUGCAGGGGAGGAUGGAAAUGAGGUUUCUUGAUUUGAAACAAGGGGAUAUGACUGUUCCCCAGUAUGCUGCCAAGUUUAAUGAACUGGCAAGAUUUUCUCCACAUCAAGUGGACACUAAAGUGAGAAAGGUUAGACGAUUCGAGCAGGGCUUGAAACCCUGGAUCUAUAGCCAAAUUUCUGUGUUCCAAAGUACUUCCUUUGGAACCAUAUUAGAAAAGGCAAUAAUUGCCAAAGGUGGGAAUGAGGCUCUCAGCCAGUACCACAAGGAUAAGAAAAACAAGGGCAGGGUUGAUGGAGGAAUAAAGACCGAGGGAACCAGUGGUAGUGGCGACGGUCAAAAGAGGAAGAGUUUUAACUCUGGGAAUACCAGAGUAAAGCAAGGGGAUUCAAAAAGGAGGAUGGAGGCUUGUAAAACCUAUGGGAAGACUCAAUUAGGAGUCUGUCUCAAGGGUAAGGCAGUAUGUUAUAAUUGUGGGCAGGAAGGGCACAUUUCGCCUAAUUGUCCCAAUCCAAAGAAAAACCAUUGAUGCUUUGUAUGUGGAUCAACUGACCACAUAGCAAAGAACUGUCCAAAGAAGGGGGCAGAUGGAAAUAAGGGCACUAAUAGCGGUAAGUUGGCUAUUAGUGGUCCAGCUCAGCUGGGUAGACCAAUGGCCUGCACUUUUAAUAUGACGGUCCAAGAUGCGGUGGCAUCAGGGGAUGUAGUUGCAGGUAUUAUCCCGAUCAAUAACAUAAAUGCGUACAUGCUAUUUGAUUCAGGUGCUACUUGUUCAUUUAUAGCAUGUGAUUUUGCAAGACGAUUAGAAUUACUUUCCGAAAAGUUUCUUAUACCUUUGAUUAUUAAGGUAGCAAAUGAAGAGAUAAUUCCUGUUGAAGAUAUUCAUAGGAAUUGUUGCAUAGAUAUACGAGAUUGUAAAUUAUCGGUAGAUUUAAUACCGAUAAAGUUGGGAGAAUUCGAUGUAAUUCUCAGAAUGGAUUGGUUGAUUAACCAUGGAGCAAUUAUAGAUUGCCAGAAGAAAUGUGUGAGCAUUAGGACGUUGAAACAACCUCCUGUAGUAUUUUACGGUAAUAAAUCGCUAGGACGUUCGUGUUGUCUUACGAUGACACAAACUAGAAAACUUUUAAGGAAGGGAUGUGUGGGUUACUUGUGCCAUGUUGUUGACACCCAGCGAGUGGGAGCAACCAUGGAACAAAUACUCAUAGUAAACGAAUUCAUGGAUGUGUUUCCAAGUGAGUUACCGGGGUUACCACCGAAUAGGGAGAUCAAAUUCGUAAUAGACAUAGUGCCAGGAACGGCACCAGUCUCAAGGGCACCGUAUCGUAUGGCGCUUGUGGAAAUGAAAGAGCUAAUGGUUCAGUUACAGGAACUAUUGGAUAGAAAGUACAUUCAACUGAGUGUUUCCCCAUGGGGUGCACCGGUAUUGUUUAUUAAGAAGAAAGACGGAUCGUUAAGACUUUGUAUCGACUAUCGAGAGUUGAACAAGUUAACGAUAAAGAAUAAAUACCCAUUGCCCAGGAUCGAUGAUCUUUUUGAUCAGUUGAAAGGGGUAAAGUAUUUUUCUAAAAUAGAUUUGCGGACGGGGUAUCACCAAUUGAAGGUUAGGAAGGAGGAUAUACCAAAGACGACAUUCAGAACUCGUUAUGGUCAUUAUGAGUUUCUAGUAAUGUCAUUUGGAUUGACGAAUGCACCAGCUGCAUUUAUGGAUAUGAUGAACAGAGUGUUCAAACCAUAUUUGGACAAGUUCGUCGUAGUGUUUAUCGAUGAUAUUCUAGUCUAUUCAAAGAUGCCAGAAGAUCAUGCUGAACACUUAAGAUUAGUGUUGGAGACACUAAGAAAGGAGAAGUUAUAUGCAAAAUUCACUAAGUGUGAAUUUUGGCUGGAGAAGGUAUAGUUUUUAGGUCAUGUCAUUGACCAAGAAGGGAUUUCAGUGGAUCCAGCAAAGGUAGAAGCAGUGAUGAGCUGGGAACAAUCGAAAACGCCGUCUGAGGUGCGGAGUUUCCUAGGGUUAGCGGGAUACUAUCAAAGAUUUAUCCAAGAUUUUUCAAAGAUAGCUACCCCAUUGACUAACUUGACAAGGAAGACGAUGAAAUACGUGUGGACGGAUAAAUAUGAAGACAGUUUUCAAGAAUUGAAGAAAAGAUUAAGUGAAGCUCCUGUUUUGUCAUUACCCGAUGACACAGGAAAUUUUGUAGUUUAUAGCGAUGCUUCGCAUAGAGGACUUGGUUGCGUGCUCAUGCAGCAUGCCAAAGUCAUUGCGUAUGCAUCAUGGCAGUUAAAGGAUUAUGAGAAAGUCUAUCCUACUCAUGAUCUGGAACUGGCCGUGAUAGUGUUUGCCUUAAAGAUAUGGAGACAUUAUCUUUAUGGGGAGAAAUGUGAGAUAUAUACGGACCAUAAGAGUCUUAAGUAUAUCUUCACUCAGAAGGAGUUGAAUAUGAGACAGAGAAGAUGGCUAGAGUUGAUAAAGGAUUACGAUUGUGAAAUCCUGUAUCACCCUAGGAAAGCCAAUGUAGUUGUCGAUGCCUUAAGUAGGAAGGGUCGAGAAAAGUUAUCUGUGUUAACAACUCAAAAUGAGUUAAUAACAAAGAUGGCUAAGAUGGAAAUAGAAGUGAAGAUGCCAAGUGACUCUAGGCAGAUACUUUUUUCAACGGAGAUGCAAUCUACCAUCGUAGAGAGAGUCAAGGAGGUACAACUCAAGACUGACGAGUGUAACCAAAUGAAGAAGCGGAUAUCUGAUAAGGAAGAUACUAAGUAUAGUCUUGAUAAUGAAGAAUUAUUAAGAUUUGAAGGAACAAUUUGGGUUCCAAAUGAGACAGAAUUAAAGGAGCAAGUGUUACAAGAAGCUCAUAGUUUGAGGUACUUGAUACAUCCUGGUAGCACUAAGAUGUAUCAAGACCUUCGACAGAUUUUUUGGUGGCCGAAUAUGAAGAGAGAAAUAGCUGAAUACGUGAGUAGAUGCUUAACUUGUCAAAAAGUUAAAGCUGAACAUCAAAGACCAAGUGGCUUGUUACAGUCAUUGGAGAUUCCAGAAUGGAAGUGGGAGCAUAUCACGAUGGACUUCGUGAUGGGACUUUCGACAACGACCAAAGGGUACGAUUCGAUUUGGGUAAUAGUAGACCGAUUGACGAAAUUGGCUCACUUCUUACCAAUUAGGGUCAAGUAUAACUUAGACUAGUUAGCUAAGCUUUAUGUCAAGGAAAUUAUUUCCAGACAUGGAGUACUAGUAUUGAUUGUGUCAGAUCGUGAUCCACGAUUCACAUCGAACUUCUGGAGAAGUUUGCAAGAACAGCUGGGAACACAGUUGAAGUUAAGCACAACUUAUCAUCCACAAACUGAUGGGUAGAGCGAGAGGACAAUUCAGACGUUAGAAGACAUGUUAAGGUCUUGCGUCAUGGAUUUUAAGGGUAGUUGGGAUGAUCACCUACCACUUGUAGAGUUUGCAUAUAACAACAGUUAUCAUGCAAGCAUAGGCAUGCCGCCUUAUGAAGCUUUGUACGGAAGGUGCAGAAAACCAUUGUAUUGGGAUGAAGUGGGAGAACGCCGGAUGCUAGGACCAGAAUUGGUGCAGCAGACAGCGGAUGUAAUAAAGUUAAUUCAGAUGCAUCUUGUUACAGGUCAAGACAGACAGAAGAAAUAUGCGGACUCACAUAGAUUAAAUCGAGAGUUUGAAGUAGGCUCAUAUGUAUUUCUAAAGGUAUCUCCCUGGAAAGGAAAGAUACGCUUUGGAAAGAAAGGAAAGAUACGCUUUGGAAAGAAAGGGAAGAUAAGUCCAAGGUUUAUAGGACCUUUUGAGGUAUUAAAAAGGGUGGGAGAGGUAGCUUAUAUGAUAGCAUUACCUCCAGACCUAUAAAGAAUAAAUAACGUGUUUCACGUAUCUGUAUUGCGUCCGUAUAAGCCGAAUUAUAAGCACGUAAUCGAAUAUGAGCCGAUUCAUAUCGAGAAAGAUUUAACCUAUGAAGAAUCGUCGAUUCAAAUCAUUGAUAGAAAAGAGCAAGUUCUGCGGAACAAAGUAAUACCGUCAGUAAAGGUAUUAUGGAAGAACCACGAUGCCGAAGAAGCAACGUGGGAAUUAGAAGAAAAGAUGAAGAAAAAUUUUCCUCAUCUAUUUGAUUAAAGUAAGACAAGAUUCUGGGGACAUAAUCUUUAUAAGGGGGGAAGAAUGUAAUGACCGAGAAAUUCAGAUUUUAUUGUAAAAUGAUUUUACUAACUAAAUAAUAAUAAAAUCAUAUUCUUUGUGAUAUCAAGAUGGUUGUCAUUCUAUAACCUAUUGAUGUUGGAAUGUCGUAGUAUUUGAGAUACGUGAAGAAAUUAAAGUGUUUGAAUUUCUAAGACGAAAGUAAAAGUUUUCCGAGAAAUUUUCUGAAAAACACUAUUCAUCAGUAUUUGCUCGGGAAUUAUUUUUAAUUUCCGAGAAAUACGUAAUGAUAGAAUAUCAAGGUAAGAUGGAUUAUGUAAUAAUAAUCUAGUUAUGGAAAACGUAAUAUUCGCUUGCGGAAUUAAUUCGAGAAUAUUAAGGAAAGCGAAGUAUUAGUAAGAAAUCGUUAAGGGUAUGAUACUUAUGUAUUGUACAAGGGAAUGAAAACAAGUAUAAUACAAAGUAUUAUACGAGUUUGUAUGAAGGAAGGAAUAUCGUAUAUAAUGAAGUUGUAUACGAAUUAUAAUAUGAGAAUAAUACAUAGACAAUAUGUAUAUGUAAUGGAUUUGGAAGAUUGGUUAACAAUUGGUACAAGCCCAAGUGAAUUAAAUGUUAAGGCCCAAUGUUAAUUAAUGAAUAAGUUAAUUAAUGCAAGCCCAAAAGAUAGGUUAAACUAAGCCCAAAUUAAAGUCCAAUGGGUUAUGGUGACCCAUGGGGCAAACCAUACUAAUGUGGUUAAUGUGUGGUAACCAAGAUAAGUGGUGACCAAGUUAAGUGGUAACCAAGUUGUUGUAAUGACCAAGCAAAGGAUAGGUUUUGUGCCAUGCAAGUAAUGAAUAGUAAGGAGGUUCAUAAGGAGGUGGGAUUGGUUUAAAGUCCAAACUACCCUAACUUUGGAAAAUCUAUAUAUAGAGGAGGCUUACAAGCCAUUUGUUAGUUGUUCAAAUAAUCCAAACACUCUCUCAAAGUGCUUAAUUGUUAGGGUGAUUAAGUUGAAAAUAAGCCACUUACAUAAGAAGAAGAAGAAGAAGAAGAAGACUACUUACAAAGACUUCAAAUGUAAGACUCCUUCUCUAAUUAUCUUCUAUCUCUAUUCAUGAUAGGUUAAUAAGCAAAGAUGAAUUAAAGAACAUGAAUGUUAAGAAGUGAGAAGAAAGUGUAAGUAUUGAACUUAAGCCACAUAAGUUGGUAAUAAGUCAUUUAAGCUAGCAUAAGUUAUAAACUUAUGUGAAAGUAUUAUGAACUUGUCAUGAGUUUAUUAAUGAAAGUAAAUAAAUUGUAUGUAUAUUAAUCAUAUAUACAUGAAUGAAAUUAUAUGUGAAAACAUGUAUGCAUGAUGAUUAAAAGACAAUAACUUUCAUAAGUUAUGAACAAUAAAGCUAUAAGUAGUUUAUAAUUGAAUAAGUUAUAAGCUCAUGAAUGAAUUAAGUCAAAAUCCAAUAAUGGAAAUAAGUUGUUGUAUUAAGUAUGUGAAGAUGUUUAUAGAAUGAAAUGAAUGCAAGUGAAGUAAUGAACAAAUCAUAAGUAAUGAAGAUUUUCUGGAAAUCGAACGAUUAGACGAUAAUCGUCGAAUUCGUGAAAUUCCCGGAUUAGAAGUCAAAUUUUGAGUUUGAACUCAGAAUGAACCAAUAGGUGAAUUUUUAGCAAACGAAGUCAAAUAGAUAAAAUUUUGCAUGAACGUGUAGAUUACGUAAUUUAUGAACCGUAGGCUUUUGAACGAGCCAAUUCGGACUUAUAACGAAGAAGUUAUGCGUCCGGGAAGUUCAUAAAAUUUAAAGUUUGAAAAAAAUUUCUGGUGCACAGAGUUGGCGCCACGGCGCCAACCCUAGGCCAAAUGAUGGCGCCGCAGCGCUAUAACAGUAACCGAGCAUACUGGAAACUCGCGUCGCAGCACGAACUAUAGAACAUUUUGUGGUGACGCAGCGCCAUGAACAGACCAUGACAUACUGGAAAGUGGCAUCGUAACGCGGCCCACUAAGUAAGGACUCGCGCCACAGCGCCAAGUUCCGGACCUCUCCACUGUUAACUCGUGCCGCAGGGCGAGCUGUAGUUAUAAAGCUGGCGCUGCAGCGCCAGUCUCAGAACAAGGAUAGUGAAGAAUAUUUCUAAGUACAAAGAAAGAAUGGUAAUGGAUUUAAAAGUAAACAUACUUUAAGGAACAUAACUUAACAUUGUUUAAACUUUGUUAAACCUUAAGGAUGUUGUAUAAAGGUUGAGAUAACCUAGUCAAAUGUAAAUGCAAGUAUAAUGAUAAAUCAGAAUGAAUAGUAAAUAUAUCUAAUACACAAUUAGAUUGAGAUGAAGGGUAAGAUAGUCAUAUAUAUACUUGGUUAUAUAUGACCUAAUGUGAGGCAUUAUGUGAUCAUGUAUUGUAGAGACUUGAAAGACUUGAACGUAAAGUAUUUAUACCGUAGCAGACGCUAAAGGCAAGUAUUCUAACUCUUGUCUCAGUUCAAUCUGAACAAGUUUUGAAGUUCGUGUAUUCUUACGCAUGAACUAAUGUAUGAUGAAGUUAAAGCCAAUCCUUUCGGCUAGACUUGACAUAUUGAGUGGAUUAUUGAUAAUCUAUUCAUCUAUUAUCAUAUGUUAUUAUCUUUUUUCAACUACUUGAUAUGGUUUUCAAAAGAAGACUGAAAUGUUAAACAAAUGUUUUUGUCGUUAAACGACAGGCAUGCGAGGUUGCCACCAAUUAAACGUACAUACGUUUAAUGAAUGUAGUGUUGAUCAACAUAGAGUACAAUAGGCUGAUCACCUAGAAGUGCUAGUAAGUAUUACCGGGCUUACGGACUUAGUUCCGGGUUGUCCUUUUCAAAGAAGAAAGAAAUGCUCGAGGUCUUUGACUGGAGUGAAUGUUUUACUGAAUACUGAUAUUAUUGUAAAACAUUUUGAAAGAAAGAUGAAGUGCUAUUUUGAAUCAUCAAUAGUACUUCAUAACUAUUGUUCAGUUAUUGAAGAUAUACGAUUCGUAUGUAUCAAGCAUGUUAUUUAUUGAAAAUGUCAUACUUGCUGAGCUAGUUAUGCUCACCCUUGCUUGAACCAUAUGAAUGCAACUAAGACUUAACGUCCCGAAGGAUCGAAUAAGGAUAAAGGAAAAGCUAAGGCAGAUCGUUAAGCUGCCUAUGUAAUAGUAUAGGUUAUUAUUGUAAUGUUAUUGAUAUUAUGACAAAGAACCUUUGUAAUGGGUUUAGAACUUGGGACAAUGUAAAUAUUAUUUUGAUAAUAUAGAAGAUAUGUUCGUUCUUUUGAGGCUUUUCAAUUGAAUAAAUGUAUGAAUGUUUGUAUAGUAUAGCACCAUCUGUCGGGUUGGAAGAUACCCGGAUUUGGGGGCGCUACACGGGCCAUAUUAACCAACCUCCUCACAAAACCUUUUGAAGCUGUCACAGUCGAUAACAUUAAAAGGAAUACCGACUUCAUACACCCAUCGAGCCAUGUAUUAAAGCACACUAUGCGUCCUUUCCUUCCAAAGUGCAUCAUUAAUAUUUUGUUAUCGUAGCUUUUUACUUGCACUCAUUAAAGAAUCGGGAUUUAUGGUCGAUGCAAAUUUAUCCAUAGCCUCAAUCAAUUGUGGUCUUUUUCUUGACCCUGUCACUUCAAUUUCUUCUUCUCCCUCUUCAUCAAUUAUAUUAACCUCUCUUCUAAUUUCUUCAAUCUCUUUCCUUUUUUCUUGCUUCUUCCUUUUAACUUCUUCUAAUGCGGCUUUACAGUUUUCUUUAUCUUCAUCAGUAGCCUUUGGGCACGAUCUAGUAUUUCCCGUAAUUUGCGCAAUGUGUUAUUUAAUUCUAUAAACCCCUCCACUAAUACAAUGUCCACACAACUUGCAUUUCACCUUAUCGAUAUUUUUAGGAUUAAUCAACAUCCCAUACUACCAUCCAACGUCAUUUCAUGCACGUUUCAAUUGUGAUUUAAGUACAGUGACAGAAUUAGAUGCUCCCGAAGAAGGAAUUUGUGCCAUUGAAACAAACCUACAAAUGUCACAGUCUAUAGAAGGCGGCAGCAACAAAUAGAGGGAAAAUAAGUAAGUCAAUAAGAUAUUCAUAUUCUCUGUUUACUAUACACAGUUAUAGCUCAUGCUUGGUUAUUUUAUAUUUUAUUUUCUCUGUUUGGUAUACACAGUACGGUUUGUUGUAUUUUUGUUUAUGUACAGCUUUCUUUGGAUGCUCAUUGCUCUGGAACUAUUAUUUCACAGGCCUCGCUAGUGUCGCAUCCAAACUCGUAUUUCAUUUUGACUGUCGAUAUUAAUACUUGUUCUGUGACCCAAGAAUGUUUACUUACUGUGAUUGAGAUUGUUCAGUUUUAAUUUGAGCUUAAAGUUUGUUGAUGAACUCAAACCUUUUUAGUUGCUUAGCAGAAAGGAAAAUUUCAAAAACAAGUGGCGAUGUGGAGUUUACAAACAAGCUAAUUGAUGUUCACAAACAAGCUAAUUGAUGUUUACAAGAUAUCAAAACUCACUGUGAUGGAGUGGUGUUGUGGCCAUGUGGCGGCGAUGGAGUGGCGUUGUCGCUACGAUGGAGCAGUGGCGGCCGUCCGGCCGUGCGCCCGUGCCUCUUCUUCUUCUUCUUCUUUUGCAGUUCUGCCCUUUCUUCUUCACUUUAGUAAUGGUCUGCACGUUUUUUAGAGAAUGGAAGAAAGAUCAGAUGACUGAAGUGAUGACUAUGACUAUGAGUAGUGGGUAUUAAAUUUUAACUUUGAGUAAAGAUAUCAUGUGUACACCCUCACCACAAACUUUGUAAGCUAUCAAGAAUGUUUACUUCAUGCCACGUGUUGAGCAAUAUGCCAU
This 47180-nucleotide long non-coding RNA is filed under the name Panax ginseng (ginseng). RNAcentral describes it as "long non-coding RNA (PGIN_LNC000079)". The record is from RNAcentral. Lineage: Eukaryota; Viridiplantae; Streptophyta; Magnoliopsida; Apiales; Araliaceae.